AGCACGUCGCUCGACGGUCCAAGUCCAAGCCCGGGACUCGCAGGGCAUCCUACAUGCCGCCACCGCCUCCUGCCCAGCCUGCAGGUGAAGCUCGCUGCAUCUCACUAGAGCCUCUUGCCACGUUAGGUCGUGAUAUCACAAAUUUCACCACACUUGGCGCAGCUUCCUAUCUCACUUUCCGCCGCGACAUAGAUCAAUACGAGGUCGUUCGUGAUUCUACGGAUUCACGUUUCCGCACAAACGUCCAGGCGGACAUCUUUACCACGGUCAUAGUUCCUAAGGGGUUAUCUAAUCAUCUUUUUAUUGAUGUUGAGCAUACUCGCAUGCACCCGGCGAAAUAUCCGGGUGCCAUUGAGCUUAUUGAGGCAUCGGGGCUUGCCGCCCCAUUUGUUUUUCAUUGCGACUAUAGUGCUGCUGCCAUUCACCAGUUCUAUGCCACAUGUUAUUUUGGCUCUGACAACACUGUCAGCUGGAUCACCUCUGACAUUCGCUUCAAAGCCUCUGAUGCUACUUUUGUUGCCGCACUGGGUUUCCCCAAUUCCGGCUACAAAAUACAUAAGGAUGAUCCUAACCAUUCGCCUAAGACUAUUGACGUGUGUGGACAGCUUCUCAAGCCACUUCGUGAGCUUGAUGCGGAUGAGCGCCUGAAGGACCUUAACCAGGUAUCCAUCUGGCGCUCCCCUUACUACAUUAUUUUUCAGUGUCUCAUCCGCACCAUCUAUCCCAAGAUGGGUGAUAAGGGCUCUUGUAGUGGCUAUUGUAUCGACAUCAUGUAUCACUUGUUCGAGAACCCCAAGAGCAAAAUCAAUGUGCCCCAUUUCCUAUGGCAUGAGAUUCGGCUUGCUAGCUUUCAGUACAAGCGAGCCUUUCCUCACGCUCCUUUCAUCCAGGCACUUAUUAACCACGUUGCUGAUUUCUCUGUGGCUGCCACUCACACCCAUCGCAAGUGGGUCAUUCCCGCUCACAUGGCGGAUGGCUUUGCUCCCAAGAAAGCCCCUUCUUCCUCCACAUCCACUCGCCGCACUGCUGCACGGGCCGCCACCCCCUCAUCUAUCUCCGCUCCUCUCGGUCGCAUUGCCAAGUUCCUUGGCAAAGCUCAUUCUGCUUUGAUGAAGGUUGUCUCCUUUCAGUGUGGUCAAAGCCAUGACGUGGUUUCCCGCCUAGUUUCCUCCAAGAAUGCCCUCAAGGCUCGUCUGAGAGCCUCGGGCGCUCUUGAUGUGAGUGAUGAUGAGGCCCCUCCUGCUGCUCCUCUUACUGAUUUUGGCUUCCCGUCUGGUCCUGAGUGGUCUGAGUUCUUUGACGAGGCUGGGGGCAGUGGCUUGGCUGAUGAUGCUGAUGAUGAUGGUGAUGAGCUUUGAGUUUGAUUGGUGCUGUUGACGGCUCCCUUUUUGGUACUUGGUGCCAAAGGGGGAGUAAUGUAUCGUAGUUAAAUUUUUAUUAUCGUCAUUUUUAGUCUUUGGAGAUUUAAUGUAAUGGAUAAAACUCAUGUAUGGCUACUUAUGAAUGGUUGUGACUCGCUAUGAUAUCAUCAUAGACUAUUAUGUCUUGCUUCCUUAUUUCUAUGAUGAUUUAUUAUCCUUCCAUGUUGAUCCAUUGGAGCUUCAAUUUCUUUAUCAUGCAUAUCUUAAGGGGGAGCUCCGUACUAAAUAUCUCCUAGACUAUAAUGUAUGUUUAAUCUUUUUGAGACCUAUGUAUAUGUUUUCAUCAACUACCAACAAGGGGGAGAUUGAAAGUGCAUGAUAUGCCCUUAAUCGUCUUUUGGUGUUAAUGGCAACACAUACAUAGGAAACUAAUCAUAUUUGUUGAGUGUAUCUCAGGACGGCAAGUACUUUAAGUAGACUGAGAUUUAUGUGCCAAAGGUUGUCUGAAAAGAUUGGUGAUUUAUAUUUCGAGAAGGCUCGGGAUUAAGAAGAGAUGAUGUAGAGUAGUCUUUUGAGUUUACUGAUAUUGAGUAUAGGGAUCCCGCACUAUUAAGAGGGGAUCACAGGCUUUGCGAUAAACUUGCUCAUACCACAUCUCUACUAUCAUACCAAACACCACAUACCAUCCACUCCUUCAAAUCAAUACAUGUCCAAUUUCCUCGGACAUCCGGCUCCCUCCGGACGUCCGAGGGCCGGACGUCCGGCUGGCUUCGGAAAUCCGCAGUCAGGCACCCGAAGUUUGUGAGGCUUAUAACUCGGAAAUCCGGCUCCCACCGGACGUCCGAGGGCCGGACGUCCGGCCAAGCUCCGGAAAUCCAGAAGUCUACACCAGUAGAAUGUGUGCUCUAUAUCUCGGAAAUCCGGCUCUCUCCGGACGUCCGACCCCCAUCGGAAAUCCGGAAGCCACCACCAGUAGAAAUUGUGAUGUAUAAUACGGAUUUCCGGGCCACUCCGGACGUCCGUACGCUGAUGAAUUCAAAUAUGUUCAGGCGCAUCUACAGGCCUCGGACGACCGAACCCUGUCGGACGUCCGGUCGCUGAUGAAUUCAGAAGAGUUCCAGUCGUGCCUACAGGUCUCGGACGACCGACCCCUGUCGGACGUCCGGCCCCUCACGGACGCCCGGACUUCCGGCAAGUGUCAGACGUCCGGACCCUGUGUGACUUAUUGCACCUCCAACGGCCGGAUUUCACUCCACACUAUAAAUACUCUUCUCCCACCUCGUGAAAGGGUGUUCAACACAGCUAAGAUGCACCCAACAACACCUUUCCUCUCACUCACUCUUGUCUACACCAAAUCCUAGAUCCCAAGAGCAUUUGUGAGUCAUUUUGAGUGUUGUUCCAAUCAAAAGAUAGAUCGUCUCCCUCUCCUCCUUCCCACCAAAGUGAUUUGUGAUUUGAGCAAGUUUUGAGCAAUCCCCGUGAUCUUGUUACUCUUGGAGGUUGGAGACUCCUAGGCGGUAGGAGUCUUCGGAGAGGAAUCAAACCACUGUGAUAUCCCCCGGAAAGUUUGUGAAGGUUUGGAAGCCACCUCAAGGCUUACCACUAGUGGUUGAGAAACGCCUUCGUGGAGUUAUCUCAAAGGGAGAAUAGGGUGAGCCUUCGUGGCGUUGGUGUGCCUUCGUGGUAACAUCCGCCCCUCUAACGGUGACGUAGCUUCCCUCCAAGGAAGUGAACAUCGGGAUACAUCCUUGUCUCUCUCGGAGUUUCGGUUAUUCCUAACCCUAACUAUCUACUUGUGUUAAUCCUUAUUACAUACUUGUAUUUGAUUAUUGUUUACCGCUUGCCUUUCUUCACCCCCAAUAGCUUACUCUUUGUCAUAGCAAUUAUUAGGCUUACACUCAUAUUCCGCACUUUAGCCUAAAAUUGCUAAGUAAUUAUUAAAAUUUGGAUUUGUACCUAUUCACCCCCCCCCUCUAGGUCCAUCUCGAUCCUUUUCAGCUAUGUUUCACCUCGCUACACAAUCACCUAUUACCGUUACUUUCAGUGCUUGCAGUUAUUACCUUGCUGAAAUCCGCUUAUCAGAGCCUUCUGCUCCUCAUUGGGUUCGACACUCUUACUUAUCGAAAGGACUAUGAUUGAUCCCCUAUACUUGUGGGUCAUCACUUCCAUAUGCGCAUUGGGCUGAGGUGGGUGGCGCACCAGCCCACCUAGGAGCUGGUUCCCAUCCACUUUUAGCCCAUAUGGCCCUUUGGGGCUAGUGGCCCCACCAGGUGGACCCCCAGAACCCUUUCGAUGGUCCCAGUACAAUACCGACGAUCCCCGAAACACUUCCGGCGAUCAAAUCUUCACUUCCUAUAUAUGAAUCUUUACCUCCGGACCAUUAUGAAACUCCUCGUGACGUCCGGGAUCUCAUCCGGGACUCCGAACAACCUUCGGUCACCACGUAUACUAUUCCCAUAACAACUCUAGUGUCAUCGAACCUUAAGUGUAUAGACCCUACGGGUUCGGGAACCAUGCAGGCAUGAUUGAGACACCUCCUCGGUCAAUAACCAACAACAUGGUCUGGAUAUCCAUGUUGGCUCCCACAUGUUCCACGAUGAUCUCAUCGGAUGAACCACGAUGUCGAGGAUUCAAUCAAUCCCGUAUACAAUUCACUUUGUCUACCUGCACGAUACCUGCCCAAGAUUCGAUCGUCGGUAUCCCUAUACCUUGUUCAAUCUCGUUAUCGACAAGUCUCUUUACUCGUUCCAUAACACAUCAUCCCGUGGCUAACUCCUUAGUCACAUUGAGCUCAUUAUGAUGAUGCAUUACCGAGUGGGCCCAGAGAUACCUCUAUGUCACACGGAGUGACAAAUCCCAGUCUCAAUUCGUGCCAACCCAACAAACACUUUCGGAGAUACCUGUAGUGCACCUUUAUAAUCACCCAAUUACGUUGUGACGUUUGAUACACCCAAAACACUCCUACGGUAUCCGAGAGUUGCACAAUCUCAUGGACUAAGGAAAUGAUACUUGACAUUAGAAAAGCUUUAACAGACGAACAAUACAGUCAAGUGUUAUGCUUAGGAUUGGGUCUUGUCCAUCACAUCAUUCUCCUAAUUAUGUGAUCCCGUUAUCAAUGACAUCGAGUGUCCAUGAUCAGGAAACCAUGAUCAUCUUUUGAUCAACGAGCUAGCCAACUCGAGGCUCACUAGGGACACAUUGUGAUCUAUACAUUCACACAUUUAUAACGGUUUCUGAUUAAUACAAUUAAUUAUAGCAUGAAUAAUAGACAAUUAUCAUGAACAAGGAAAUAUAAUAAUAACCACUUUAUUAUUGCCUCUAGGGCAUAUUUCCAACAAAUUAGACAUGUCAACUAUAGUUAACUCAAAUGAUAAGUGUCACGCGCGUGGCACAAAAUAACACUGUCCUAACGUUUUUACAACUAAAAUUGUUAUUCGAGAAAAAAACUGAAAUUUGUCAUCCAAACAGAAUAUUGUCAUGGUUUACAACUAAAGUUGCAGUCUCCGAAUAACUAAAGUUGCCAUGGAAAAAACAUGAGGAUGGAAUUGCUUCAUGGCACGUGUGCGAAGUGGGAUGAGUAGUUGUUUUGGAUCUGCAUGCGGGCCGUCUAGAUGCGCCCAAACGUGUGCAUAGUUUUAAUGUUCGCCAAUACAAGGUCGCGGGGGCUGGUUCCUAGAUACGAUCAAGCGAGUCGUGUGGUUGGGUGUUCAUCGUGCCACACGUGUGGUGAAUACAAGGAUCCUAAUUUUUUAGGUUAAUGCUAUUUUGAUAUCAUUUACAGUUUACACAUACUUUGGACACACUUCUAAUCACUUUUGAUGGCAUAAGGUGUCAAAAGAACUAGCCUUAGCGAAGCGUACCAACUCCUCAAUAUGUGAGAUGGUUCACGGUAAUUCCUUCUUCUAGGGGUAGUGCUAGGUGCCGGCUGUUGGGUAACGUAGCAUAAAUUCAAAAUUUUCCUACGCAUAUUUAGAUCUUCCUAUGGAGAGACCAGCAACGAGAGAGGGGUAAGAGCAUCUUCAUACCUUUGAAGAUCGCUAAGAGGAAGCAUUGCUAGAACGCGGUUGAUGGAGUCGUACUCGCAGCGAUUCCGAUCUAGUGUCGAACCACGGCACCUCCGCGUUCAACACACGUACAGCCGGUGAUGUCUCCCGCACCUUGAUCCAGCAAGGAGGAGGGAGAGGUUGGGGAAGAACUCUAGCAGCACGACGGCGUGGUGUCGAUGGAGAGACGAGGUCUCCCGGCAGGGCUUCGCCAAGCACCGGCAGAGAGGAGGAGAAAGAAGGGCAGGGCUGCGCCGAGGGAGAGGGAGAAGUCUAUCUCCCAAGGGCCAAAAACCCCUCUCUAUUUAUAGGAGGAGGGGGAGGGGGUGCGCCACCCCUAGGGUUCCCCCCUAGGUGGUGCGGCAGCCACCAGAUGGGAAAGGGGGGCGGCGGCCAGGGUGGGAGGCGGUGGCGCACCACCUGGUGGGCCUUAGGCCCACCUGGCUUAGGGUUUGCCCCCCCCCUUCCCUCUUCCCUGCGCAUUGGGCUGAGUGGGGAGGCGCACCAGCCCACCUAGGGGCUGGUUCCCUCCCCCACUUGGCCCAUCUUACCUCCCGGGGUCGUUGCCCCCCUUCGGUGGACCUCCAGGGCCACCUCCGAUGGUCCCGGUGGUCUUGGUACGUUACCGGUGAUGCCUGAAACACUUCCGGUGUCCGAAACCAUCUGUCCUAUAUAUCAAUCUUUACCUCCGUACCAUUUCGGAGCCCCUGGUGACGUCCGGGAUCUCAUCCGGGACUCCGAACAACUUUCGGUAACCUCGUAUAACAAUUCCCUAUAACCCUAGCGUCACCGAACCUUAAGUGUGUAGACCCUACGGGUUCGGGAGACAGGCAGACAUGACCGAGACACCUCUCUAGCCAAUAACCAUCAGCAGGGUCUGGAUAUCCAUGGUGGCUCCCACUUGCUCCACGAUGAUCUCAUCGGAUGAACCACGAUGGCAAGGAUUCAAUCAAUCUCGUAUACAAUUCCCUUUGUCUGUCGGUAUAGAACUUGCCCGAGAUUCGAUCGUCGGUAUACUAAUACCUUGUUCAAUCUCGUUACCAUUAAGUCUCUUUACUCGUUCCGUAGCACGUCAUCGUGUGACUAACUCCUUAGUCACAUUGAGCUCAAGAUGAUGUUCUACCGAGUGGGCCCAGAGAUACCUUUCCGUCACACGGAGUGACAAAUCCCGAUCUCGAUUCGUACCAACCCAACAGCAACUUUCAGAGAUACCCGUAGUGCACCUUUAUAGUCACCCAUUUACGUUGUGACAUUUGAUACACCCAAAGCACUCCUACGGUAUCCGGGAGUUGCACAAUCUCACGGUCGAAGGAAAAGAUACUUGACAUAAGAAAAGCUUUAGCAUACGAACAAUACGAUCUAGUGCUAUGCUUAGGAUUGGGUCUUGUCCAUCACAUCAUUCUCCCAAUGAUGUGAUCCCGUUCUCAAUGACAUCUAAUGCCCAUGAUCAGGAAACCAUGAUCAUCUAUUGACUAACGAGCUAGCCAACUAGAGGCUUGCUAGGGACACAUUAUGAUCUAUUUAUUCACACAUGUAUUACUGUUUCCUGUUAAUACAAUUAUAGCAUGAACAAUAGACGAUUAUCAUGAACAAGGAAAUAUGAUAAUAACAAUUUUAUUAUUGUCUCUAGGGCAUAUUUCCAACACCGGCGCGCCGGCCCGAGGGCUCGCGCCGGUCGCGCAGCAGCCGUGAGAUCAGGGCCCCCUGACCGUCAGAUCUGGUCGCGCCAGCCCCCACCGCCCGCCAUCCUCGCACGCGCCGCAGUCCUAGCACGCGCCUCGCCCGCGCCGACGCCCCAGCACGCGCCGACCGCCUCGCCUGCGUCGACGCCCCAGCACGCGCCGACCGCCUCGCCUCGUCUCCUCACCGCUGGUCGCCCUCACCGUCAGUCGCCGCCUCGGCCGCCCGUCGAAAGCACCAUGUAUGCAGCCCGUCGGUCUUCACCUCGUCGCAUCUCACCACCUAUGUUGCAAACGCUGGAUAAAAAGUUUCAACCGUGUGUAAAAAAGCUUCAACCGUUAAGAAAAACGGCUUCAACCAAAAACUUCAACGAGGGAAAGUUGCAAACGUUGACAGAAAAAACUUCAACCGUGUAUGAAAAAAGUUUCAAACGCCGCUCCGACUGCAGCAUCUCGCGUGCUCACUUCUCAAAAAGUUUCAACCGUGGAUAGAAAAGCUUCAACCGUUAAAAAAAAGCUUCAACCAAAUACUUCACGAGAAAAAAAAGUUGCAAACGUUGACAGAAAAAGCUUCAACCGUAUAUUAAAAAAGUUUCAACCGUCGCCCCGCUGCAGCAUCUCGCGUGGUUCACCUUCGAUCACCGCCGUCAGGCGCAGCGGCUGCCGGUGGAGAAGCCGCAGCGCUCGCCGACAACGCGUGAGGUUGCAGGGGGGAAAAGGGGAGAGGAGGGGAGUAGAAGGAGGAGGAGGAGGAAGGAGAUGGAGGAAGGGGGAGAGGAAAGGAGGAGGCGGUGGGCACGCGAGAUCCCCGCCGUCAGGCGCAGCGGCUGCCGGUGGAGAAGCCGCAUCGCUCGCCGACAACCCUGAGAUUGCAGGGGGAGGGGGAAGAAGAGGGAAGAAGAAGGAGGAGGAGGAGGAAGGAGAUGGCAGAAGGGGGAGAGGAAAGGAGGAGGCGGUGGGCACGCGCGAUCUGGUCGAUCCAACGCCAGCCACGCGACCGGCCGAACGUUUCGGCCGGCGCGCUCGCGGAAAACGUUUUCCUUCUUCUAGGGGUGUUUACUCACGGUGAUUCCGAGCUUCCAUUAGAUCGUAGCUGGCACCCUGCUUUCUCUCGCGGGCUUAACUCCAAAAGUUCAGCGUUCCAGAAGCAACCUCCAACCAAAAAUAGCUGCUAUGUACGAGUCCAUGAUACUGUCGAGAACAAACUUCCAAUCACCUCUCGGCGGUCGAAACCAAAAGCUGACCCUACCAACGUUCACUCCGAUGAAUGUCAUUGUCCGUCCUCAUUUCUCACGCCCCACGAUUGGCUCAUACCAUCGGUACAAAAUCUCCAAGCUCGCAGUGGCACGCCCAUAAGAAGGCCAACGCUUCAAUAUACACACGCAUUGCAUGGUUACAAAAAACAUCAUACUCGACUGGCAGCUAUAGACAGGAGCUAGUGUCCGCGAGCACCAUGGCGCAGCCGAACCACCGGUACGGCGGCCACCGUGACCUGGAAGCCGUGAUAGACAUGGACCAGCCGGAGAAACUGACGGCGAAAGGCGGCAGCCGGUUCAGCUUCACCGGCGGGCUGGAGUUCACCAGCCUGACGUACACCGUGGUCAAGAAGCAGCGCGGGGUCGGCGGGGAGUGGGAGAAGAAGGACGUGGACCUUCUGCACGAGAUCACCGGGUACGCGCCCAAAGGCUGCGUCACCGCCGUGAUGGGCCCCAGCGGCGCCGGCAAGUCGACAUUCCUGGACGCUCUCGCCGGGCGCAUCUCCAGCCUCGACGGCCGCGUGGCGCUCGACGGCGUCGAGAUGAGCCCCAGCGUCAUCAAGCGUUCGUCCGCCUACGUCAUGCAGGACGACCGCCUCUUCCCCAUGCUCACCGUCUACGAGACGCUCAUGUUCGCCGCCGACUUCCGCCUCGGCUCCGCCGUUUCCCCCUCCGACAAGAAGCUCCGCGUCGACAACCUCAUCGAGCAGCUCGGUCUCACGGUAAUUAACCAAAGGCGAUACCUAUAUUAUACUUUGACAAAAGUAAAUUACAGUAUGAUACGUACGUGCGCAUGGAGUGUAUGCGUGUUAACAAAGCAGCUGCGCACUGCAGACAUCAAGAAACACGUACAUCGGGGACGAGGGCACGAGGGGAGUGUCCGGCGGAGAGCGCCGGCGCGUCUCGAUCGGCGUGGACAUCAUCCACGGGCCGGCGCUGCUGUUCCUCGACGAGCCGACGUCGGGGCUCGACUCGACGAGCGCGCACAGCGUGAUCGAGAAGGUGCACGACAUCGCCUGCGCAGGGAGCACCGUGGUGCUGACCAUCCACCAGCCGUCGUCGCGGAUCCUGCAGCUGCUCGACCACCUAAUCAUCCUGGCUCGCGGGCAGCUCAUGUACAGCGGCGGGCCCAAGGAGGUGACCGCGCACCUCGGCCGCAUGGGCCGCAAGGUGCCCAAGGGUGAGAACUCCAUCGAGCACCUCCUCGACGUCAUCCAGGAGUACGACCAGUCCGAGUUCGGCGUCAACGCCCUCGCCGAGUUCUGCCUCACCGGUCUGAAGCCGCGCAAGCUCGCCGCCGAGGGGCUCUCCACCGUGUCUAGCAUCCCUCCCACACCGGUUGGGCCCGGGGGCGAGGACUUCGACCACAGCCUCAGGAGCCAGCAUUCCAAGUCUCCGUGGAGCGGCGCGCAGUUCACGCCGUCCCGGCGCCCCAAGAAAGAUCAAAGCGGCAAAUCACACAACCCUCCAAGGUACCCGAAAACCGUUCUUCGUCGUGUUAUGAACGUAGUAUGACUCUGUAGAUUGUGGAAGUUGGCUGGCGUUUGCAUGUCCGAUCUGUCGCAUGAACUGCAUAGCUUGUCUCCGGGUAUCCACAGGUACGGGCCGGAGAUCGUGAUGGGGACGCCGACGCCGCUGAGCAGCAUCUCGGUGUACACGGUGAACGAGGCGGACUACCUGUCGCCGGCGCAGCGCGGGUCCGCCACAGGGGCGCCUGGCGUGGGCAUCAACGCGCUGGGGCACCGCGGCAAGUUCGCCAACUCGUACGCGGCGGAGGUGUGGGUGCUGAUGCGGCGCAACUUCACCAACAUCUGGCGCACGCCGGAGCUGUUCCUGUCGCGGCUGAUGGUGCUGACGGUGAUGGGGUUCCUGAUGGCCACCAUGUUCACCAAGCCCAAGGACAACACGCAGGGCAUCACCAACCGGCUCAGCUUCUUCAUCUUCACCGUGUGCGUCUUCUUCUUCUCCUCCAACGACGCCGUCCCGGCCUUCAUCCAGGAGCGCUUCAUCUUCAUCAGGGAGACCUCGCACAACGCGUACCGCGCGUCCGCGUACGUGGUCGCCGGGGUGAUCACGUACCUGCCCUUCCUCCUGCUCCAGUCCGCCGUGUACGCCCUCAUCACCUGGUGGGCCAUCGGUCUCCACGGCCAGUUCGUCUACUUCCUCGUCAUGCUCUACGCCUCGCUCCUCUCCACCAAUUCCUUCGUCGUCUUCAUCAGCUCCAUCGUGCCAAACUUCAUCCUUGGGUAAGUACGACAACUUUUGUUUUUGUUUUUACAGGAAAUGGACUGGUCCGGACCAAAGCCCAGUUACAUGUAGUAGGAAAACUGGGCCAGCGUAGCUGAACAUGUGCUAGUGGGCUGGGCCAGAAUUAUUACAUGCAACCUUGCUGAUGUGUGUCUCUGACUGAACGGACGGUUGAACCCACCCACAGGUACGCGGCGGUGAUCGCGUUCACGGCGCUCUUCUUCCUCUUCUGCGGCUACUUCGUGGACAGCCACAGCAUCCCGCAGGGGUGGAAGUGGAUGAACACCGUGUCCACGAUGAAGUACCCAUACGAGGGCCUCCUGAUGAACGAGUUCGGCGGGACGCGGAGCUUCUCCUCGAACCCGCCGCUCAACGGCGACGAGAUCCUCGAGAACCUCACCAUCAGCGUGCACAAGGACCGCAAGUGGUGGAUGGUGCUCUACCUGCUCGGCUGGGCCGUCUUCUACCGCGUGCUCUUCUACCUCGUCCUCCGCUUCGCCUCCAAGAACAAGAGGAAGUAGCUCAAGAACCGGACGCGCGCCUGGCCGGCCUGUAUCCACGUAUCAUGGCGAUUUGCUAGCUAGCUUCGUCGGAAGCUCUUUGGUGAUCAUUCAUUUAGUAGUAUAGUACAGAGAUAAAUACAUUAUGAGUGCCUUAACUUGUCCGAGACGGUCACUUUGGUUUCUAAAGUUAAAAAAUGCGUAAAAUCGGUGCCGUAACUUGUCUCUCCGUUCAAAUACAGUGCAUCCUCGCGUAUUAAGUCGUAUGUAGCACAAACGUGGCAAGUUAGAGUUUCGUGGCCCACAUGUCAGUGGCCGGUGGCGCGUCGUGGUGAUUUUCUUUUACGGUCCCUUAAUCCCCUAUCUCUUCUAUCUGAGUCGCACCGCUUCGUGCCCUCUCCUCUUCUCCCGAUCAUUGCAAGGCGGCGGCGAAGCUGGUGUGGCACGGCACGGCGACCGGCGGCGUCCACGGCGAUGGAUAGCCCGCGUCGUCGGCGUCCAGGCGAGGGACCUCCUUCCUACUGUUAGUACCUUCAUUUCUCUGUUGUUCCUCCCUUUUCAGGCGUAAUAGGGCUAGGGUUCUUUGGGGGGUUAUCAAGGAGGGGACUUUUUAUUUGAAAGGGGAUGAUCUUGGAUAUGUGGCAGUGAUAGUUCUCUUAUUUGUGCAGUACAAUUUGAUGGAAUGUUCUGAAUUGAGAUCCAUCACAAAGGGUUUUUCUAUGAAAGUGGUAGCAACAUGACCUACAUGGAUCAUGAAAUCGAUUGGUUUGAUGGUUGUGACACUGAUAGUUGGUCAAUUCUGUGGAUUGACGAUUUCCUUCUCCAAUUGGGAUAUAAUAGAGUAAUCUCCAAGAUUGAUGUGUACUGGAGCAAACCUAGGAACUCUAUGUGUGAUGGCCUACAGUUGAUUGCGUCUGAUGCAGACAUUGUCCUUAUGAUUGCUGCAACAGUGGAUCACAAAAACUUACUCCUACUGGUAGAUCAUGCUGACACCCUAGAGUCAGUAAGCACUGAUGAUGUGUUGGGAGUGGGGAUGCAUGAGCUCCCAAGGGUUAUUACUCCAGUUAAGUCGGCAAAGGGUAAAGAAAAUGUACCCGGCUUUGACAAACCAGAAAUUCCAAGACAUAUGAGAUGUAACUACAAGAAAGCAAAAAAGAUUUAUGUCAUUUGAUGAAGGCAGUAGCUCACAUGUUACAAAUCAGGAAUUUGAGGAAGAAGAUGGCAAUUGUAAGACUGAUGAUAGUGGUGCUCAAGAUGCAAAUGACAGUAGUGAAGAACAUGGAGAUGAUGUCAAUGAAGAAAUUGAAACAGAUGAGGACUUUUAUGAGAGUGAUUAUGAAGGAGCAGAAGGUGAUGAUGAUCUGUUUGAUAACAAUGUAGACAAAGAUGUUGAUGAUUAUAGAGAGAAGGAGAUUGUGCAGGACUUUGAAGGUGAACUUCCUGAAGAUGCUUUAGAUGGCAACCAUUUAAACCUGUCGAAAGAAGAAGGAGACAAGCUUAGGCACAAAUUUAGCACAUUCAAUCCAUCUACUGACCUGAAAGCACCGGCUUUUAAAGUUGGCAUGAUUUUUGGUGACAUGAAAGAGCUCAGGCUUGUUGUGGUUGCAUACAGCCAUCUCUACCGGCAAGGAGGAGGGGGGGGGGGAGGAAAUGACGCCGGCCUUCUGUCCUCCUCGUCUAGAUCCACGUCGGCCAAGGACGAAUCGAAGAAGAUGGCGCCGCCGCCGUGGUCGCGUGUAUAGAAUUAGGGAUUUCCUUCUUUGAUUUGGGAAUUGAGGGAACUGACCAUAUACAUGGAGAACAAGGGCUUUUUUGCGACUUUAAACUAAACUGCAGGGGGGUUUCCGUAAAAGAAUCAGCAUUACAUCACCACGACGCGCCACCAGCCACUGACAUGUGGGCCACGACAAUCUGACAUGCCACUUGUGCGCUACAUACGGUUGAAUACGCGAGGAGGCACUGUUUUGAACGAAGGGACAAGUUCCGGCACCGAUUUUGCGUAUUUUGCAAUUUUAGGAACCAAAAUGACCGCGUCGGACAAGUUAAGGCACUCACAGUGUAUUUAUCUCUAUAGUACAAGAGAAGUGACCCACGUUCCAAGAUUUGUAAUAGUACUACUACUGAAUUGUAAUUUUCAGGCAAGACAUUGUGUUGAUAGAGCAUGCCGUGAUUUAUUCUGAAUUUCUGGUCUGCAUUUCUCCAAUCAGUGGUGUUGUUCGCCCCUGAUUGCAAGGUCGCACCUCUUGAGCCUGGUCCAACCGUUUGGGGCUGCAUAUCCUAGUGCGGUGACGUGACUGACAGACAAUUUUUCUCCCUAGCCUAUUAGCUUGCGACCACCACGAAAAGGACUAGGAACUGGCUCUUGUCCCUAGGCGAGUCAGGCUGCCUGGCCAACCGAUCCGAGUAUAUCUCUUUCUCGACCAUCAGAAUGGUCAAAACCACGGGAGCAGGCGGCGGUGCCCGGCUCCAACCGCUUCCCCGGCGGCGCCGCCGCCUCGUUCAGUCGUGGUACAGCGACACAGUCGUCUCCUCGCCGGCAUGUAAAACGCCUCCAAGUACCCUGCCCGCUGUUUCCAAGUGCCUACCGCGCACGGGAUAAGCGUAAAGUCUGUGUGCUCUUCAAGUCCGAACAAUCUAUUUAUUGCGGACAGCGAUUCUUCCAAUCCAGAAUCCGUAUACACUAUUUUAUUUUCCAACAACCGGUUCUCUGAAAUCUGACCAAUCUAUUUAUUGUGAACAGCGCGGCUGUGAAAGCGUGGCCUUGCUUGCUAAAUUUGUUUGUGCAAAAAUGCAUCUUGUCUGGCACAGUAUUUUAUUUCCCUCCAACCCGUUUUCUCUUUCUGAAACCUGACCAAUCUGUUUAUUGUGAACAGCGAGGCCAUGAAAGCGUGGCCUUGCUUGCUGAAUUAGUUUGCGCAAAAUAGAUACCCCGUGAGUGCAAAAUAAUGGUGGUGCAAAAAUUUGUGCGCCGUCCAUUCGAGUCUGACAUGCUAACAAGAUAACUAUCGUUUGCUUGCGGUUGGAAACUCGGAAAUCUUCUUCUAGAAAAGUAGUGGUUCCUGUCUCGUUGACAAGGACACGCACCGUGUAGACAAUAAUGAUUCUGAACUGGAACUGGAACUGCAAGAAACGUCAAGCAGCCAAUCGCGAAUCUGGACGAUCGUCCAGGACGCCAAGGUAUACUGUGCUUCGAUUCCCUAGUCCAAAGGAAGUAAUUGUUUUAGAUCUAAUUGUGACCUCGCAGCUAAAACAUGUCUACAGUGUUAAUAAAACAAUUUUAAACUCAUUUUAGCUGUGAAGCAGGUUGGGCUACCGUCCUUUUUUCGGCGCUAACCUUUGUCUUUUCACUUAAUUCACGAAUAGACUAUUAACCGUCAUAGUACUCGCUGAAAUGACACAGUGGGUCGUACUGCAGUAGUGCUAGUAGAUUCUAAACGGGGCGAUCUUAUCAAAGGCGAGGCGACGAGACGUAUUUGGCCGUUCCAUUCGCGAGACGUCGCUCGCAAGACGCUCAGCUGCCUCAGCGACAGCAGCACCGGGCGAUAAUAUCUUGCAGGCCCCCGACGGACGCAGAUGGCUUGGCUCCGUUCCGUUCAGGUUCGGCGGCGAAAAGAUAAGUCUUUACGUCCUUGUCGUGCCACUUUUCAAAGCGACCAAAGCCCAAAAGCACGUUAGAUAGAUAGAAGGUUUGUUUAGUCUCCAUUACAAUUAUUUAUUCAGUGGCCACCGCCCGAGUGACCGUGUCUUCGUAAACACUCCGCCUUGCCUAUUUAGCUCGUCACUAAGGUGGUUGCAGAUCUCUAAACCGUGUCGGAGGACUAGUGAGCGGUGGCUUGUGCCGUUUGCCGUGCGUGGACUCGUGGCGCCGGAAUUUGGAGAAAUGGGCGUGAGCGUCCCGGCCAGCGAGCCGAAGCACCCGCGGCACCAUCAAGAAGGGUGCGAGGCCGAGGCCGAGGCCGAAGCGCUCGCCGCCCUGUACCUGUACGGGGACGUGCUCGAGUCGGUGGUGGAGCGCGUGCCGGCGCCCGACCUCGCCGCCGCGGCGCGGGUCUCGCGCGAGUGGCUCCGCGCGGUGCGGUCCGCGCUGCGCCGGCGCCCGCGUCGCCUGCCCUGGCUCGUGGUCCACAUGCACGGCCGCCGCCGCCGGACCGCGGCCUACGACCCGCACUCCGGCGCGUGGAUCACCGUGCAGGCCCCGCGCCACGCCACGCCGUCGCACGUGCGCCUCGUGCGCGGCGCGCGCGGCGACCGGGUGUGCGCGCUUUCCUGCUCCGGCCUCGACGUCGCCGGCGACCCUCUUGGGACGUCCGCCUGCGUCGCCAUGAAGGCCCCCGGCGUGUGGCGCGUCGACCCGGUGCUGGCCGCGGUGGGCGACCGCGUGGUCGCCCUCGGCGGCGCGUGCCAGCUUGCGCUCGCCGAGGGAGAGGACGCCGCCGCGGUGGAGGUCCACGAAGGCGGGCACUGGACGGCCUGCGAUCCGAUGCCGGCGGAGCUCCGCGAGUCCGCCGCGGCAACGUGGCUUUCGGUGGCCGCCACGGAUCAGAGAGUGUACCUCGCGGACAGAAGCACGGGCUGUGCGAGCUGGUUCGAUCCGUCGAAGCGGCGGUGGGGUCCCAGCCGUCGCCUCGAGCCCGACGCCGGCGUUUCCACGUGGGGCGUCGCGCCUGGCCGCGCCGGCGCCGAGCAGCUCGUCCUGUUCGGAGCGAAGCGCCAAGGCGAGGGAGCAAAGAACAAGGUCGUCAUCCAAGCAUGGGGAGGUGGACGGCGACACUCUGGAUCUGUCCCCCGGCGCGGCCCACGACGCAAUGCCGAGCGAGAUGUCGGCGAGGCUUUUCCCCCACGACGAGGACGAGGAGGACGACGGGGAGACGCUCCCGUCGAUCGGGGUGUGCGGCAACGCCACCGGAGGGUACGUGUACAAUUCGGCGGAGCCAGCCAACGGCGCCGUGCUCUACGAGCUGCGGGGUGGGAAGAAGGACGGCGCCGUGGAGCGGUGGGAGUGGGUGCCGUGCGCGCCCUCGGUGCGCGCCGAGCCGCUGGGCCGCGUCAUCCUCGCGUGCUCGCCGGUGGGGCUGGACGAGCUAUCGCGUGGACUACCACUUACGAAUGCACAGUGAAAUACUGUACUGUACCUUCUUUAGGGUCGCAGUGAAUACACUGAAUCGAUCAAAGAGCGUUGCAAAUUCGCAGUCACAUCGUUUAUGAGGAAGGGUACAUCUCCAUUUAAAGGCUCCUUAAACCAAUCAGAAAUCAAGGAAAUCUAGCCAACCUAGCAGUGCGGAGUAUAAUACUUGCCGACACUCGCUUUUUGAGUAUCGUAUGGCCCGUUGCGUCUGGGCAUUAAGUGAUGAAGAGGUUCUUGUGGAGGUUCUUGUGGCUAUUCGGGUUGUUUGAGACUUUGAAUCAGUAUGACAUAGCAAGAGUAUCACCACGUGGGUCAUUUGGUGGACCAGAAGACGAGCUAUACAUGAUAAUGCAUUCCACACCCUAGUGUCAACCAUGUGCCUCAUCACUAGAUUUUUGCAUGACUUGGAGAUAGCAUAUGAGAGGAAGAAUGUCUCGGCUAAUUCAGUGUCCAUUCCACGCCAAAUUCGUUAUAUAUUCUUCCGGACGUUUUGACCAUCCUAUCACGAGUUUUUUCUUUAUUUUUGUUUGAGACUGUUUCUUUUCUUGACAAAUCUAGAUCUUCAUGUCGUCAUCAAGCUUGUCCAAGGACAAGUUUUUCGAGAAUGUCAUCAAUCCCUACCUUCCGGAGGUGAUGAAGCACCCUCAAACCAUGAAGUUGCGAGAGGGGGUGCUUCAUAUCCGGGGCGUUCAAGGACCAAAGAAGGAAGGAAGCGAGAAAGCCAGGCUUGAAGCGGUGGACCAUGAAAUCUUCAAGUGUCAAGGGAUGGUGGAAAGCGGACUCAGUGCCAAUCACUCCAUGUUCACGAAUUUUGUUCAUGAGAACAAGAGGGACAACAAGGAUAUUGGAGGGGCCAUCUUCAAGCUUCAUGACCGGAUUGGUCAUCUCCAAUCACAAAUCUAUGACCUGUACAACCAAAAUUCUGAGUAUGAACCCAGACUUACAAGGAUGAGCCUAGAUGCAGAUUUCAGGAUUCGGGAGACCCCUUCUUCUUUCUUUGAGGGGGAGCACAUGCCUUGGAAGACAGAGUACAAGCCUACCAUUUCAUCACCAACAUCACCGAAGAAAGACACUUGAGUAGACAGGUGUGGGCACCAUCUUCCAAGCUUGGGGGAGGUGCCCCGGUAUCGUAUCACCAUCACUUUUAUCAUCAUUAUCUCUUAGUUUGAUCCUUGGUUAUUUCGUGAUUUAGAAGAAAAAAGUUUUUAGUAUGAUUUAGUUUCGAGUGCUUGCUUUGUGAUAUGUCUUUCUAUGUAAUCAAGUGCGGGAGUUAUAUAAUAAAAAUUAGUUUGAGUUUUGAUUAUUUACUUUCUUGUCCCAAUCUUAACAAUGAAAAAAGGGGGGGGAGAUCAUAUGCUAAUCAAAUGGGGUGCAAUUGUUAGAGCACAUUUUCCCCUAAGUGGGCUUGGUGAUUGAUGAGAGUGCCCUUUGUGGGCUAACCGUGUGCAUUUAGAUAGAGAGAUUAUCACGUGGCACAUGAUGGUUUAUUUCCCCUUGGUGUUUAAAUGAGAAGACAAUUUCUUUCCAACUAUUUCAUUUUGGUGGUUCUGAGUCGCAGGUAAUCCAUACUAUCAAGAGGGGGUUCACAUUUGGAAAGGCUUGUACGGAAUCAAUGCGUACACAUUUGCACCCUUUUUCCAUCCCGGCACUUUGGAGCUACUGUUUUCUGAGGAUUUUCCAGAAGCACUUAAGCGAAAGUACCGCGUUGGAGAGCGGUAGUACCGCUCGAGUGGUAGUGCCGCCCUCCGGUGCUGAGGGCACUACCGCUUAUAGUUUGGUUUUGGUGUUCUCACAAUUGUUGAGCGAUAGUAUAGAGUGGUAGUAUUGCUCGCACGAUACCGCGGCUCUGUCCACUACUUCACUCCUUCAGAAGCAUUGAACAUCAAGGCUUUAAGCGAAAAUACCACUACUGCUGAGCGGUAGUACCGCUCAGGCAACACUACCGCCCUGCGCAUCCGUGCCUACUACCGCUUAUAAUUUUCUUGUGGUAUCCUUUGCCACUCGAGCGGAAGUGGAGCGGUAGUACCGCAGGAUGCAGUACUAAUGUCCUACCAAUCUCCACUACCACUGGUUCCCCUCUUCAUGCGGCGCCAAGUGGAACUACCGCUCGUGCGGCACUACCACGUCCCUGACUUGUGUCAGUAGCACACUGAGCCCAGAACUACCGCGUCCGACGGUAGUAUCACUCCCCUGAACGGUACUACCGCUUAUGUGCGACUUGUGGGCAGAAAAUGGUCAGAUUUUUCCCACCACUAUACAAGGGGGUCUUCUUCCCCAACUUGACCUAUCUCUUUCCCCCAAGACCCAUUAUUGCUCUUAAGAUCAUUUUUGCCCGAUCUCCCUCCCUAGCCAUCGAGUCUUGUUGAUCUCUAGGGUUUGGAAGAGAAGCCCUCGAUCUACACUCCACCAAGAGAAAUUUGAUUCCCCCACUAAUCCCUUGCGGAUCUUGUUACUCUUGGGUGUUUGAGCACCCUAGAUGGAAGAGGUCACUUCGAAGCCACAAUCCAUUAUGGUGCAGCUUCAUGGUGGUGUUGGGAGCGUCCAAUUAAGCUGUGGAGACGGCCCCAACAUUGUUUGUAAAGGUUCGGUCGCCACCUUCAAGGGCACCACUAGUGGAAUCACGCUACCUCGCAUUGUGUGAGGGUGUGAGGAGAAUAUGGUGGCCCUAGUGGCUUCUGAGGGAGCAUUCUGCCUCCACACCGCUUCAACGGAGACAUACUUCCCCUCAAAGGGAAGGAACUCGGGUAACACAUCCUCGUCUUCAUCGGUUCCACUUGUGGUUACUUCUUAUCUUUACUUUGUGCAAGCUAUAUUUGUGGUGUAUCCUUUUCUUGUUUGUGUUGUUGUUGAUGUUGUUGUUGUUUCUAGCAUCAUAUAGGUUGUUCACCUAGUUACAUAUCUAGACAACCUAUUUGUUGCUAAACCUAAUUUGUUAAGAAAAGCUAAAAAUUGUAGUUGCCUAUUCACCCCCCCUCUAUUCAACCAUAUCAAUCCAUUCAUUUGGUAUUAGAGCUAUGUCUCUUCUAAAGGCUUAAUCGCCCAAAGUGUAUGGUUGACGACAAGACUAGGGAAGGAGAUAACUUUGUGGUCGCGUCCGAGACCAUGGUAACCCAUGAUGAUUUGAAUGAGGUCAUUGAUGGGGUUGUACAUUAGGGGUAGGCCCACGGACCUGCAUCCCAGGGCCCACCUAAGAACCCACAUGGACAUCAAUAUCCCCAAAGCUACUAGUGCAGUCACGGUCUCACUCGGGAAUACAGGUUAUCACUCGGUUUGCACAAGGCCAGUCGGUUCAUCUUCUGUCAGUCGAACAUGCCCCGACACUUGGACUAUGACAAGGCGUGGACGAGAAGAGACUGUAACGGCCACAGACUUAAACUACCACAUGAAGUGCAGUGAAGAUGUGCGUUACUAGUAACGCCGAAGUUAGAGCUACUGUUACUAGUAACUUCCAUAGUUAUUAGCGUUAACUCACCCUUGUAAUGGCGCUCGGCCGGUCAUGGCACACUCUAUAUAAGCCGCACCAGAGCUCCUUGGCGAGGGUUGAUCAUUCUGUAAUCUCACCCCCCCUAAGCAAACACUAGCCUUCGGUCUCGAGGAGUAGGGUCGUUACCACUCCCGAGUGGGGCCCGAACUCGUAAAUCCGAGCGUAUCCACUGCGCCAUAUCUAGGCUCCGCCCCUCAUUCGUACCCCUCGUAUUAUUGUCACGAUCAUUCCCAUGAUAGUUGGCGCCCGCCGUGGGGCUACGCGUUUAGCAAAUACGACAGAGUUGGAGUUUCCAUCCUUUUCGUCAUCAUGAUGACACUCGAUGGAGAUAUCCUCUUCGGUUCCCUGAGCUUCAUCAUCGAAGACUCAGCAUGGCUGCAGGAUGCGCCACUGGACACCGAUGCCCUUCCUGCUCGAGGUACGUCGCACUUCACCGUGGUUGCGCACGGGGUCCUAAUUCGACAGCCACCGGUACCAUAUCACUCGGUGCCCCCACGUCCUGCUGCGGUUCGUCGCAAGCGCUCCAGCUAUCACGACUGCAACGGUGGAUCAAACAUGCGGUGGACCAUCAGGCCACGUCAGGGCACGUGGCGAUGCUCGAUUCGAAUGAGCCCAUCGUCAGCCUCUUCCCUUCGUCGAGCGACAUAUCAUUUGAUGAUUCCGGCUGCGAAAGCAGCGGAGACGCUGCAGAGAUCUUGAUGGGUGAUACGGCCAGGGGAUGAGCCCCUGGUUUUGCCGUGGAGAACUCUCAUGGACACGAUGGCGGCGAGCAUCGUCAUGGCGAUGACAACCAUCAUGUCCCACAGCCGCUCGCGGAACAGCAGCGGGAGGAACUUCGGCGGAGGAGCGAUCAAGCUUUUCGUACUCCCAUCACCGGGAACACCCGGAGGAAAUAGCACUGGAGAACGCGCACUAGGACACUCUCGCCGAGUGCGAGCAACUCAAGCCGCUCCAGCAAUCACUCGUCGCCCGAGCCGAAAGGGACCAGCUAAGUUCCAGUCGCCACCGGCGGUAGUUGUUUCUGAACGAGUGGCAACGUAACAUCGAGGUGAUGUGGACACCUUUGCAGAACCUGACCGUGGCCACUCGGAUCGUCGAUUCCAUUCAACCGAGUGAUUUUGCAACCGAGGAAGGCAUUCAGCAGAUCCAGACUCUGCUGAAGACUGCCUUGUAGCAAAACUCUGCGGUAUCGCAAUCGCGAUAUCGUAUCCACAGUAGGUCCUUCCAAGCAUACACUAUGCAGUCGGCUCAUAGCCCUCAUGCACCCGGAAGACGCCGAAGAUCUCCUCCUCCUCCGAGAGGCCCGCACGGGGAUCAGAGGCAUGAUUAUCGGGUUCGUAGCAGGACACCUCCUCCGAGGAGUGGUUCACUCGGACACCGACCCCAUGACCACAAGGUAAGCCACAAUCGACAUAGGGGUUAUGGAGACGACGACUACCAAGCUCCCUAGGUAAGCGUGAGGUCCAUAAUCACGUAGAACGUGGUUGACUGAUCGCAAGCAGGCGAGGGAGUAUCUGGCAUCGAGUGCUUCGGCACAGACAUCCACAAAGCAAAGAUCCCCUCCAGCUAUGAAUUGGCUACGAGGAUCGUUAAGCUCAAUGGUGAGUCCAAGCCGAAAACUUGGCUCGAAAAUUACCGAUUGGCCGUCCAGAUAGGCGGUGGCGACGACUUCGUCGCGAUGAAGCGCCUGCCCCUCAUGUUGGAGGGUUCGUCAAGGGCGUGGCUCAAUUAGCUUCCCUCUAGUAGCAUCCACAACCGGGGAGACCUCGCUCGAGUGUUCAUCAAAACAUUAGAAGCACCUACAAGCCCCGGGGUGGCUUGAGGGAGCUACAACACUGCGUCGAGAAGAGCAACGAGACUCUCAGAGAGUACAUCCAAUGAUUGUCCAUGUUGCAUAACACCGUGGAGAACGUCAUCGAGCAUCAGGCCGUGUGCACCUUCAAGGCAUACACUCGGUACCGGGAGCUCAUCCUCAAGUUUGGUCGAUCGAAGUAUCUGUCCCUCAGUCUGUCAAUGGAGAUCGCCAAUCGGUACGCGAAUGGUGAAGAGGAAGACCGCCUCCGUAGCGGCAAAGGCCGAGCCAGCGAUUCCCGGCAACCAGGCAACACGGGGAAACAGUAGAAGGGAAAGGGCAACCCACAGGCGAAGCCGAAGUAGCCGAUGUUCCAAGGAAAGGCCAAAACAAACGCAAAUAGAAGAAGAAGAAAGAUUGGGCAGGCAAAAACAAAACCGAGUCCAAGAGCAACCUCUUGGACCAACCCUGGACGAUCCACGCCAAGAAGGAUGAUGGUGGGGAGAUCAUCCCCGCCAGACACACGACUCAACACUCUCGCCUGCUCCGGCAGGAGAUGGGCGGAGAACCCUCCGGGGAUAAGGACGAUGAGGACAAUCAGGAGGCUACCCCCAGGUACUCGAAUAUCGAGAAGGUCCUCUUGAUCUUUGCUGACGUCGAGACUAAGAGCCGAUUGAAAGUCAUCAAUCGGGAGGUAAACAUGGCAGUUUCGACUAUAACAAAGUACCUCGAUUGGGAAAAGACGCCUGUCACAUUCGAUUAGUCGGACCACCCAGCUCACGUUGCCACCCCUGGGAGGUAGGCGCUGGUUGUCGAGCCAGCUAUCAAUGGAGUCGGACUACAGAGGGUCCUCAUGGACGGUAGCAGCAGCCUCAGCAUCAUCUACAUCGACACACUGAAGGCCAUGGACAUCCCGUUGUCCCAGCUGAGCAAGAGGAACAUGCAGUUCCACGGGGUCAUCCCCGGGAAAAAGGCCGAGUCAGUCGGUCUGAUCACCCUGAAUGUUGUAUUUGGUGGUGAAAAUAAUUAUAGGAAGCAGAGACUGACCUUCGAGGUGGUCGACUUCCGAAGUGCUUAUCACGCCAUCUUGGGUAGGCCUACCUACACACGUUUCAUGGCCUGUCCAUGCUAUGUGUAUCUUAAACUUAAGAUGCCAGGGCCGAAAGGCAUAAUCACGAUGACCGGUAAUCGGAAGAUCACCGAGGAGUGCCUCGACUAGAGCUCCAAGAUCACUAAUGAACAAGUCCUUGCGUCCGAGCUCGAGGGAUACAAGAAGUAGGUCGACACUUCCGACUUGCUCAAGUCGAAGUGGUCGGCUACUGAGUCUGCCUUUUAGUCGGUCGGUGAGACCAAGCACGUUCACAUCCACCCCACUGAUCCGAGUGCCUCUGGGACAAACAUAUCCACUUCACUCGGUGACAAAUAGGAAGUCGAGCUCAUCCAGUUCAUUCGUGAAAACUGGGACAUCUUCGCAUGGAAGCCAUCUGACAUGUCAGGUGUUCCCAUGAAGCUGGCUGAGCACCACCUCCGAGUGGACUCCAAGGUCAAGCCCGUCAAGGAACACUUGUGCCGCUACUCCAUGGAGAAGCGCAAGGCGAUUGGUGAGGAGAUCACUCGGCUCCUAGCUGUCGAGUUCAUCCACAAGGUUUACCACUCCGGGUGGCUUGCGAACGUGGUCAUGGUUCCCAAGAAGAACAAUUCACUCCGAAUGUGUAUUGACCUCAAGCACCUCAAUCGGGCGUGCCCGAAGGCAUAGAUCAGAUUGUAUAUUCUACUGUUGGAUGUGAACGCAUGUUGUUCCUGGAUGCGUACACCGGGUACCACCAGAUUCGAAUGUAUGGACCCGAUGAAAUAAAAACGGCCGUCAUCACCCCCAUUCGGGUGUUUUUGCUACAUCACAAUGCCAUUCGGCCUAAAAAAUGUUCGGGCUAGUUUCCUACAUACGAUCCAUAAGUGUGUGCAGGAACAGAUCACUCGGAAUAUCGAAGCAUACAUGAAUGACAUCAUGGUCAAGUCGAGGAAAGGUUUCGACCUCUUGACCGACCUUGUGGAAACCUUUGCGAACCUCUGGCGCUUCGGAUCAAACUUAACCCGGCCAAGUGGACCUUCGGUAUGACAGCGGGCAAACUACUCGGUUUCCUUGUUUCCGAAAGAGGCAUCGAUGCCAACCCCGAUAAAAUCAGCGCCACAGUCCAAAUGAGACGACCAGAGCGCAUCCAUGAUGUGCAGAGGCUUUCAUGUUGCCUUGCGGCUCUAAGCCGCUUCAUCUCAAGACUCAGUGAGAAGGCACCGCCUCUUUACCGAUUGAUGAAAAAAUCUGACAAGUUCGAGUGGACCAACAAAGCGCAAAUCGAAUUAGAUGAACUCAAGGCAUUGCUUUCCACCCAGCCGGUGUUAGUUACUUUGGGUAGCCUAGAGCCCUUGCUCGUGUACAUCGCUGCCACUAGCGAAGUGGUUAGCACCGUUCUCACCGUGGAGUGCGAGGAAGAAGGCACAUCAUACAAGGUACAAAGGCCCAUCUAUUACAUCUCAGAAGUAUUGACUCCCUCCAAGAAAAGGUACCCGCAUUACCAAAAACUGGUUUAUGGUAUCUAUGUGACCGUGAAGAAGGUGGUCCAUUACUUCCAAGAUCAGUCUGUCACAGUCAUCAGUGAUGCCCCCUUGUCGGAAAUCCUGCACAACGGAGACACCACUGGCCGAGUGGCUAAAUGGGCGAUUGAGCUCCUCCCGCUCGAGAUCAAGUUUGAAGCCAAAAAAGCGAUCAAGUCUUAGGCCGCGGUGGACUUCCUGGCUGAAUGGAUAGAACAAGAGCAGUGGGCUCCUAGUGUCCCCAAGCAUUGGACUAUGUUCUUUGAUGGGUCCAAGAUGCUCCAUGGCUCGGGGGCUGGAGUAGUUCUCGUUUCCCCUAGGGGAGACUGACUGAACAGUGUGAUCCAAAUCCAGUCCGACUCAUCUAACAAUGAGGCCGAGUACGAAGCCCUCCUGUACGGGAUCCGUAUGGCCAUCUCACUCAUCAUUCGAUGUUUGACGGUCUACAGCGACUCGAUCUCGUUGACAAUUAUGUGAUGAAGGAAUAUGACAUUCGGAGCCUGGCCAUGAUAGCUUAUCGCAACUAGUUAGGAAGCUUGAUAAGAACUUUGAAGGGUUGGAAUUGCAGCAUGUGCCCUUAGCCAAGAAUCAGCCGGCUGGCGACUUGGCCAAGAUCGGAUCCACUCGAAGAGUCGUUCCAAAAGGCGUGUUCCUUGAACACCUACGUGCCCCUCAGUUAAAGAGGACCCUUUUAUAGAGGAGCCCCCAUAGGUAGUCGGUCCUUCAAAUUCGACUGAAAUUGAUGUCCCGGCCAUGGUCGACCUUGUCCAUGAGAUGUUGGUCAUCACGCCCGAAUGGACUCAGCCUUAUGUGGCUUACUUGCUUUGGAAAGAACUCCCUCAAGAUGAAGAGGAAGCCCGCCGAAUCGUUCGGCGGUCUAAAUCUUUCGAAGUUUUGGGAGACAAAUUAUACAAGAAAAGUGUUACAUGAAUCAUUCAGAAGUGUAUUUCCCCAGGGGUAGGAUUGAAAAUCUUGCAUGAGAUUCACUCGGGAACCUGCGGCCAUCAUGAGUCUUCUCGGACUCUCGUGUCCAAGGCCUUCCGAGCAGUUUUUUAUUGGCGCUAAGCAAAUGAGGCAGCAAGAGACGUGGUCGAGCUAUGCGUCGGAUGCUAAUUUUACAAAAAUCAGUCACACAAGCCUGCAUCCGCGUUAAGGAUGAUUCCUCUCAGCUCGCCGUUUGCUGUGUGGGGUCUCGACAUGGUCGGCCCUUUACGGACUAGGUCGAAUGGAUUCACCCACUUGCUAGUAGCGGUGGAUAAGUUCACCAAGUGGGUCAAGGCGAAGCCCAAUAAAAGCCUGGAUUCAACGAGUGCCAUCAGCUUCAUUCGGCAAAUUAUCUUCAGAUUCGGAGUUCCUCAUGAUACCAUCACCGACAAUGGAUCCAAUUUUGACUCACACGAGUUCCGCGAGUUCUGCCAUUUCCAGGCACUCGGGUCAAUUACGCCUUCGUGGCUCAGCCGUAGUCGAAUGGACAUGCAGAGCGAGUGAACCGUAUGAUACAACAAGGAUUGAAGCCCCGAAUGAUGAGAGAUCUCAAGUACGCCGCAGGCGCAUGGGUAGGAGAAUUGUCGUCUGUCUUGUGGGGUAUGCAGAGGACUCUGAAUCGUUUGACCAGGCGUAUACCUUUCUUCAUGGUGUAUGGAUCUAAAGUUGUUCUGUCGAGUGACUUACGUCACAACUCCCCCGAGUGGAGCAAUACAAUGAAGCUGAAGCCGAAGCAGCAUGAUAAGACAAGCUGGAUAUCUUGGAAGAAGAGAGAGAACUAGCCCUCAUUCGGUCAACACUAUAUCAUCAAGACCUGAGGCGCUACCAUGAUAAAAAAGUCAGAGGGCGAGCCUUCCAGGAGGGUGACCUGGUCCUCUGACUGGACCAGGAAAAGCCUCACAAGCUGGCACCUCCGUGGUAAGGUCCCUUUGCAGCAUCCAAGGUCCUACACGAUGGAGCUUAUCGGCUUUACCACUUAAAACGAGAUGGAAGAGCCAUGAACCUGGAACGCGGACCUGAUCCACAAGUUCCAUACAUAGAAUAUGUAUCUUUGUUCCUAUAACAACUCCAAAUGAUUUGAGAAUAAAGUGUUUCCCUUCCUCACCUUUUUGUCAAGCUUCUCACUCGGGUGAAACAUCUCACUCAAAAACCUGCCCCAAGUGAGGACAACCUCCAUGCUCGGGGGCUUAGUAGCAAACCUGCUUUCGCCUAAGUACAAACAGUUCCAAGUGUGGGCACUACCCACGCUCAGACACCGCGAUGGACAGGACCAUCACUCAGUCCACAAGGACUACUUCCACGUCUUGGUUGUGAAUCAUAAUUUUCCUAAAGAAAAAACCGACCUCGAACAAGGACAACCUCCAUGCUUGGGGGCUUAGCAGAAAACCCGCUUUCUCCUAAGAUGAAACGGUUCCGUGUGAGGACAUGAUAUUCACUCUGCUGCCACGAUGAACAGGACAAUCCACCCCUUAGCUGCGAACCUUGUUUUUGCCUAAGACCAAACCUGCUCCGAGUGAGGAAAACCUCCACGUUCGGGGGCUUAGCAGCGAACCUGCUUUCGGCGAAGUACAAAUGGUUACCGAGUGCAGGCACCACCCAUGCUCAGACACCGCGAUGGAUAGGACCAUCACUCRGUCUCCAAGGACUACUUCCACAUCUUGGUCGCGAAUCAUAAUUAUCCUAAGAUAAAACCGACCAUGAAUGAGGACAACCUCCACGCUCGGGGGCUUAGCAGCGAACCCGCUUUCGCCUAAGUUCAACCGGUUUCGUGUGAGGACAUGAUCUUCGCUCGACUGCCAAGAUGAACAAGACAAUCGUCCCUUAGGUGCGAACCUGUUUUUUCCUAAGUCCAAUCCUGCCCCGAGUGAGGACAACCUCCAUGCUCGGGGACUUAGCGGCGGACGAGUUUUCACCUAAGUACAAACGGUUCCGAGUGAGGACAAGACCUUCACUCGACUACCAAGGUGAACAUGACAAUCGUCCCUUAGUUGUGAACCUGUUUUCGCCUAAGUCCAAACCUUCCCCGAGUGAGGACAACAUCCAUGCCCGGGGACUCGGUUGCGAACCUGCUUUCGCCCGAAUGGAAACGACUCCGAAUGGGGAGAUAACCCACACUCGAACUUCACGAUGGAUAAAUCUAUCAAAAGGUCGAAAAUCCAAAUUCCGAUGAUGACAAAUAAAAUCGCAUUCCGGUUCAAACAAAAGGUGCGCAUUGUUGGGGAACGUCGCAUGGGAAACAAAAAAUUUCCUACGCGCACGAAGACCUAUCAUGGUGAUGUCCAUCUACGAGAGGGGAUGAGUGAUCUACGUACCCUUGUAGAUCGUACAGCAGAAGCGUUAGUGAACGCGGUUGAUGUAGUGGAACGUCCUCACGUCCCUCGAUCCGCCCCGUGAACAAUCCCGCGAUCAGUCCCACGAUCUAGUACCGAACGGACGGCACCUCCGCGUUCAGCACACGUACAGCUCGACGAUGAUCUCGGCCUUCUUGAUCCAGCAAGAGAGACGGAGAGGUAGAAGAGUUCUCCGGCAGCGUGACGGCGCUCCGGAGGUUGGUGAUGACCUUGUCUCAGCAGGGCUCCGCCCAAGCUCCGCAGAAACGCGAUCUAGAGGAAAAACCGUGGAGGUAUGUGGUCGGGCUACCAUGGAAAAGUCGUUUCAAAUCAGCCCUAAAACCUCCGUAUAUAUAGGUGGGAGGGAGGGGACCUUGCCUUGGGGAUCAAGGAGCCCCAAGGGGGUCGGCCGAGUCCAAGGGGGAAGGCUCCCCCCCCAAACCGAGUUGGACUUGGUUUGGUGGUUGGGAGUCCUUCCUUCCCUUCCCACCUCCUCUUUUUUUUUUCUCUUUGAUUUUCUUCCCUAGGCGCAUAGGGCCCUUUUGGGCUGUCCCACCAGCCCACUAAGGGCUGGUGUGACACCCUCAAGGCCUAUGGGCUUCCCCGGGGUGGGUUGCCCCCCCCGGUGAACUCCCGGAACCCAUUCGUCAUUCCCGGUACAUUCCCGGUAACUCCGAAAACCUUACGGUAAUCAAAUGAGGUCAUCCUAUAUAUCAAUCUUCGUUUCCGGACCAUUCCGGAAACCCUCGUGACGUCCGUGAUCUGAUCCGGGACUCCGAACAACAUUCGGUAACCAACCAUAUAACUCAAAUACGCAUAAAACAAUGUCGAACCUUAAGUGUGCAGACCCUGCGGGUUCGAGAACUAUGUAGACAUGACCCGAGAGACUCCUCGGUCAAUAUCCAAUAGCGGGACCUGGAUGCCCAUAUUGGAUCCUACAUAUUCUACGAAGAUCUUAUCGUUUGAACCUCAGUGCCAAGGAUUCAUAUAAUCCCGUAUGUCAUUCCCUUUGUCCUUCGGUAUGUUACUUGCCCGAGAUUCGAUCGUCAGUAUCCGCAUACCUAUUUCAAUCUCGUUUACCGGCAAGUCUCUUUACUCGUUCCGUAAUACAAGAUCCCGCAACUUACACUAAGUCACAUUGCUUGCAAGGCUUGUGUGUGGUGUUGUAUUACCGAGUGGGCCCCGAGAUACCUCUCCGUCACACGGAGUGACAAAUCCCAGUCUUGAUCCAUACUAACUCAACUAACACCUUCGGAGAUACCUGUAGAGCAUCUUUAUAGUCACCCAGUUACGUUGCGACGUUUGAUACACAUAAAGCAUUCCUCCGGUGUCAGUGAGUUAUAUGAUCUCAUGGUCAUAGGAAUAAAUACUUGACACGCAGAAAACAGUAGCAACAAAAUGACACGAUCAACAUGCUACGUCUAUUAGUUUGGGUCUAUUCCAUCACGUGAUUCUCCUAAUGACGUGAUCCAGUUAUCAAGCAACAACACCUUGUUCAUAAUCAGAAGACACUGACUAUCUUUGAUCAACCGGCUAGCCAACUAGAGGCUUGCUAGGGACGGUGUUUUGUCUAUGUAUCCACACAUGUAAAUGAGUCUUCAUUCAAUACAAUUAUAGCAUGGAUAAUAAACGAUUAUCUUGAUACAGGAAUUAUAAUAAUAACUAUAUUUAUUAUUGCCUCUAGGGCAUAAUUCCAACACGCAUAAAGGGAGCCCAGGGCUCGAUCGAAGUUUGGAGGUUACAUUAACCACUCAGCAUUCCGAGGAGAAUUAAAACUUAAUGUUUUUCCUGAGCAUCACUCGAGGAUGAAGACUCCACCGCUUCCACAAAGGUGUUGAGGUCAAUCCCAUCGGCGAUCCGAGUGGCAGCCGCCAUGAACAUCUCCAUGAAGUGUUCGAACUUGGCGCUCUUCCUGUUGACGACCCUUAGGUCCUUCAGCUUCUCUUUGUACUCUCCUUUACAAUGGAUGUGGACGAGUGAUAGGGUGAUGUGGGCUCCGACCCGUGCCGUUGAUUUAUUCCAAGAUUGUAGUUGACCAGGGACUACCUUAAAUCGGUCCACAAUGGCUUGAGCGUACUUGGGUAGUUAUUCACUAGGAGUAACCUCUUGAGCGAUCUGUGAGACUGCCGAUUGGAGCCACUUGAAGAAGCCCAACAAGUAGUCGACACGAGCUUCCAGUGUGAGAAGGGCCAAAGCAGCACUGUCCUUCGAAAACCCUCGCUUUGGGUUCAGCUCCUUCUCGAUCCUCCCUGUCUCCUCAUCGACACCAAUACAGAAGGCUGGACGCAGACAAAAAACAAAGAAUGAGAAACAUCACUCGGAAAUCAUAAUGCAAUAGUGAGGGAUCAUUCACAUUCACAACAUACCUUUAUGUUUCUCGCUCAUCUUUGUGCUAUAGUCUUCAACAAACUGCUCCAAUUCGGCUCUCUUGGCGGUGACCUUCCCGAACUUGGUGUCCCACUCGUCAUAGUGCUUCUUUAGCUCAACAAGUUCUUCCAUAGAUUCCCCCCCCCCAACAACCUUCAAAACCCAGUUCUCCUCCUCAAGCUUCUCAACUGUCUUGAGCUUGGUUUCAGCCACCUUGGUUUUUUGAUUGGCCUCCCUCCAAGCCGACUCCAGUUCUUCAUCCCUCUUCUCAAGGGCGUCCUUCAUGGUAACUAAAUAAACAUAAUUCUUCAACCUCUCAGAAAGGAGAUCUGGUAAAAUAACCUCAGUCGGAUGGGGAGGAAGAUCAAACCACAAGACACUCGGAUAGCAAAGUUUUACCUUCGGCAGCAUGCUUCUCCUAUUCCACGCACUCGCUCUUGGCCUUUUCAGCACCAAGACAGAGAUGCAGGUCCUGCAACUCCCGUUCCAUAGUGUCAUUAAGACUCCCGAGCCGGCAGGCGGCCUGCCAUCAACAAACACAAAUUACGUGAAGUACAGAAAUGAUAACUCUAAGACUACUCCCGACUACUUCUGUCGACGACAGUCUCGGGGACUAAACCCUGUGGGUGCACUCAGUGCGCCCCCACUGGAAGGAUAAGAGGAGGGACAAAGGGCCUCGUACCCCAUCAACCUCUCUUGAGUCAAUGCAAGAACUAAGACUACCGCUGAAUCCUUGAGUCGACGACAGCCUCGAGGACUACACCUAGUGGGUGCGCUCAGCGCGCCCCCACUGAACGUGGACACCGGUGGGUGUGCACCGGAGCAAACCCACUCGGGAUUAGAAACAAAAAGUGUAUACAAAGGAAUUCACCCAAAUGUUUUUCGCCACAUCUUCGCUCGCAUCAUAUGCCUCCUUCAGUCACCCCACCAUCAACCCUACCUGAGCCAAGGCUUCCUUGCAUGCGCCUUCUUGGUCCUACGGGAUAUGGUGCAACUCGAAAAUAUUAUGGUCCAUGGGAGGAAGCGACGGAGUGGCAGAUGGACCAGUUUCGAGUGACGCCAAGCUGAGGUAGUCCCCUGAACAACGGGAGUCAAAACCUUGGCAACCGAGGGCUCAACCACUCGACUGGGAGUCACAUCUUGCUUCAGCGCUUUAUCAAUGACCGAAGGACUGGUAGGGUCAAGUUCGAUCAUGUCUAGCGGCCCUACACACGUCGACAUGCAUUCAAAGGAUCAUUUUGAGUCAAUGUAUCAAGUCCCAAAUGAAACACAAGUGAGCUCAAGAAUUACCUUUGGAGGAGGUGAUGUUGGCGUCGGCUUGUCCUUUAUCAGAAGUCUUAGGCUCCAGCAAAGUAGUUGAUGUAUUAGGCAUGUGAUGACCCACAACUGUAGGGGAUCUAUCAUAGUCCUUUCGAUAAGUAAGAGUGUCGAACCCAACGAAGAGUAGAAGGAAAUGUCAAGCGGUUUUCAGUAAUGUAUUAUGUGCAAGCACUGGAAUUAUCGGUAACAAAUAGUUUUGUGAUAAGGUAAUUCGUAACGGGUAGAAAGUAAAAAGUGUAACAAAGGUGAACCAAGGUGGCCAAUCCUUUUUGUAGCAAAGGACAAGACUAGACAAACUCUUGUAUAAAGCAAAGUGCUCUCGAGGACACAUGGGAAUUUCUGUCAAUCUAGUUUUCAUCAUGCUCAUAUGAUUCGCGAUCGUUACUUUGAUAAUUUGGUAUGUGGGUGGACCGGUGCUUGGGUGCUGCCCUUACUUGGACAAACAUAUCACUUAUGAUUAACCUCUCUCGCAAGCAUCCGCAACUACGAAAGAAGAAUUAAGAUAAAUCUAACCAUAGCAUGAAAUAUAUGGAUCCAAAUUAGCCCCUUACGAAGCAACGCAUAAACUAGGGUUUAACCUUCUGUCACUCUAGCAACCCAUCAUCUACUUAUUACUUCCCAAUGCCUUCCACUAGGCCCAAAUAAUGGUGAAGUGUCAUGUAGUUGACGUUCACAUGACACCACUAGAGGAGAGACAACAUACAUCUCAUCAAAAUAUCGAACGAAUACCAAAUUCACAUGAUUACUUAUAGCAAGACUUAUCCCAUGUCCUCAGGAACAAACAUAAUUACUCACAAAGCAUAUUCAUGUUCAUUAUAAGAGGAGUAUUAAUAAUCAUUAAGGAUCUGUACAUAUGAUCUUCCACCAAGCAAACAAACUAGCAUCAACUACAAAGAGUAAUUAAGACUACUAGCAACCCACAUGUACCAAUCUGAGGUUUGAAGACAAAGAUCGGAUACAAGAGAUGAACUAGGCUUUGAAGAGGAGAUGGUGCUGAUGAUGAUUCUGGUGGAGAUUGACCCCCUAUCAUUGAGGGGAUCAUUGGUGAUGAUGAUGGCUUCGAUUUCCCCCUCUCGGAGGGAAGUUUCCCCGGUAGAAUAGCUCCGCUGGAGCUCUAGAUUGGUUUUGCCGAAGUUCCGCCUCGAGACGGCAGGGCUUCAUCCAGAAAGUUCUGAUAUGAUUUUUUCCAAGUCAAAACCCUUCAUAUAGCAGAAGAUGGGCACCGGAGGCUGAUACGUCCCAAACAUAUCUAUAAUUUCUGUUUGUUCCAUGAUCUUUUGGGUGACAUUGUUAUAUGUUUUGCUACACUUUCAUAUAUUUUUACACAUAUUUGGACUAACCUACUAACUCAGUGCAUCCAGUCCUAGUUUCUGUCUGGUGAUGUGUUUUUUGCAGGGACUUUUACCCCAAUUUACAGAGUCCCAAAAUCUCGAGAAAAAUAUAUAAAAAUCAGCGUGACGGAAGCUUCCGAAGCACCAAAGGUGGGCCAGAGGGGAGCCAGGGCUUGCCCAGGCGGCCUCCCUGCACGUACUGCCCCCUGGACGCGCUCACAGGUCGCCUGGGUGGGGCCCACCUCCUCUGACGCCCUCCUUUGGCCUAUAUUUACCCCUCCAAUCAGAAGCCCUUCCAUUAUAUCCAGAAUCGUGAAUUUAUCCGUCAUUCCGCCGACGUGGCGCUUCCGAGAACGGGAGCAUCAGAAGACCUCUUCCCAGCACCCUGCCGGAGGGAGGAUGGACCUCCGGGAGCUUCUCCACCGCCAUGGAUGCUUCUCGGACGUGCCGUGAGUAGUCCUCCUUGGACCAUGAGUCCAUGACCAAUAGCUAUGUGAUGUCUUCUCUCCAAUCUUGUGCUUCAAUGUUUAGCCCUUGUGAGCUUCCCUACAUUAUCAAGGCAUCUAUGUAAUUUUCCUGCUAUUUCUAUGCUUGGUUUGCUGGGAUCCGAUGGAUUAUGAAAUUAUGUUCAGAUUGUGAUGAGUUAUAUAUUUGAUUAUCCUUUUAUAUUAUGUUCUUUAGUGAUUGAUGCAUGUUCUCAGUUGCUUUUUAUUGGUUUGGCCGAGUAGUAGAUUGUAACUCCAAGAGGGAGUGUUAUGCAUGAUUGUGGGUUCAUGCCCGCUGAUAUCUAGCUUGAGUGACGGAAACAUGAGACUCGGGGAUGUGCUCUUGCCACCAGGGAGAAAACAACGGUGCUUGUGACCGCGGUUGCAAGUAUUGUUUACCUUAUGCAAAGUUCGUUAAUGCAGUUGUCCGUUGCUUUGAGUUUACACUUUGGGAGGGGCUCGCAACUUAAUACCAACAAGAUGUUCUGGAUAGAUAUCUCAAGGUGGAUGAUUAGUAAGUAGAUGUUGAUGAAUAAAUGGUCUACUUGUCUUGGCAUACCGCCCAUUACUUUUGAGCCUCUAACUUUCUAGCAGCAUAAUUAGCAUUGCGGUGCGUUUAUAAUUCUGUCAAUUGCCCAGCUGUGAUUUGUUUACCCAUGCAUAGUUGUUUAUCGUCUUUUGGGAGAGAGACAUCACUAGUGACCAUCAUGUGACUUUGGUCCAUAUUACCACCAUUGCUUACACCUGCACCAUUUACUACUUUAUUUACUUUUCUGUUGCAAUCACUAUCACUAUUGCCGCUUGUGUUUUGAUCCUUUGCAAACUACAAGGCCGGAGAGAUUCACAACCUCUCUGUACUCGUUGGGAGCAAAGUUAUUUGUUGUGUGUGCAGGUCCACGUCUUCCGCUAGCGCCACAGCAGUGGACAACUACUUGUUGAUCCUCGGAGUCCUCCUGGUUCGAUAAACCUUACAAUCCCCGUAUAUGGGAAAUCUGUUGCUGACUACAUCUCCACCUUCCACUUGGGGUAACCAACGAGGGGCGAGAAGUCUAUCCAUCAAAUCAUCAUCAGAGGCCUGCUAGGGGGCCCACAAGCUUGCAGGGCGCGGCCCAGGGGGGGGGGGGGUAGGCCGCACCCCCUGGCUUGUGGUCACCUGGUGGGUCCCCCGAUGUAUUUCCUUUGCCAAAUAGUUUUUAUAUAUUCCAAAAUAAUUAUACGUAAGUUUUCAGGACUUUUGGAGUUGUGCAGAAUAGGUCUCUCAGAUUUGCUCCUUUUUCGGUCCACAAUUCCACCUGCCGGUAUUCUCCCUCUUCAUGUAAACCUUGUAAAAUAAGAGAGAAAAGGCAUAAGUAUUGUACCAUAAUGUGUAUUAACAGCCCAUAAUGCAACAAAUAUCGAUAUAAAAGCAUGAUGCAAAAUGGACGUAUCAGCAUGCAACAAAAAUAGCAAGGAAAUCAACCAUCACUCGGGGUACCCCGAUCGAUAAAAACAGACCACUCAGCAAGAAUACUUAUGCUGAUGCCACAUGCAUGCCAUCCUUCAUGCGCGACAGAAAAACCUUUUGAGGCUUGGAGGCCGUGGUCUUGGGCUUCUUGGCGGCCUUUUCCAGCGACACUCAGGAUCACUGUGACACCGUUUAGAACUGUGGGUCCGCAUGGCCGACACGGUCGGUUUUGUCACCCUCGGGGUCUUGGCACCCCCAGCACGAACUCCAGGGUCCUGGCGGUUGGAAAUAUGCCCUGGAGGCAAUAAUAAAAUGGUUAUUACCAUGUUUCCUUGUUCAUGAUAAUCGUCUAUUGUUCAUGCUAUAAUUGUAUUAACACGAAACAGUAAUACAUGUGUGAAUAAAUAGAUCACAACCUGUCCCUAGCGAGCCUCUAGUUGGCUAGCUCGUUGAUCAGUAGAUGAUCAUGGUUUCCUGAUCAUGGACAUUAGAUGUCAUUGAUAACGGGAUCACAUCAUUGGGAGAAUGAUGUGAUGGACAAGACCUAAUCCUAAGCAUAGCACUAGAUCGUGUUGUUCGUAUGCUAAAGCUUUUCUAAUGUCAAGUGUCUUUUCCUUCGACCGUGAGAUUGUGCAACUCCCGGAUACCGUAGGAGUGAUUUUUGUGUAUCAAACAUCACAACGUAACUGGGUGACUAUAAAGGUGCACUACGGGUAUCUCCGAAAGUGUCUGUUGGGUUGGUACGAAUCAAGAUCAGGAUUUGUCACUCCGUGUGAGGGAGAGGUAUCUCAGGGCCCACUCGAUAGAACAUCAUCAUAAUGAGCUCAGUGUGACUAAGUAGUUAGUCACGGAAUGAUGUGCUACGGAACGAGUAAAGAGACUUACAGAUAACGAGAUUGAACAAGGUAUAGGUAUACCGACGAUCGAAUCUCGGGCAAGUUCUAUACCGACAAACAAAGGGAAUUGUAUACGGGAUUGAUUGAAUCCUUGACAUCGUGGUUCAUCCGAUGAUAUCAUCGUGCAACAUGUGGGAGCCACCAUGGGUAUCCAUACUCUACUGAUGGUUAUUGGCCGGAGAGUGUCUCGGUCAUGUCUGCAUGAUUCCCGAACCCGUAGGGUCUACACACUUAAGGUUCAAUGAUGCUAGGCUUAUAGGGAAUUGGUAUACGAGGUUACCAAAGGUUGUUUGGAGUCCCGGAUGAGAUCCCGGACGUCACGAGGACCUCCGUAAUGGUCCGGAGGUAAAGAUUUAUAUAUAGGUUGGAUGGGUUUGGACGUCGGAAAUGUUUCGGGCGUCACAGGUAGCGCAGCGGGACCCACGGGACCACUAGAAAGGGUUCCGGAGGUCCACCAGGAGGGGCCACCAGCCCCAAAAGGUGACAUGGGCCAAAAGGUGGAAGGGAACCAACCCGGAGUGGGCUGGUGCGCCUCCCGCAAGGGGCCCAAGGCGCCUAGAGAGGGAAAGGGGGGAACCCUAAGUGAGGUGGGCCUAAGGCCCACAAGGGGUGCGCCACACCUCUCUCCCCCUCCUAGGCGCCACCCCCUCUCCCAUUGGGGUUGCCGCCCCCCUUUGGGGUGGUAAACCCUAAAGGGGGCGCCACCCUCCCUUCCCCCUAUAUAUAGCGGGGGUUUUUGGCCUUUGAGAACACGGUUUUUCCAUCUCUCUCGGCGCAGCCCUGUCUCUCUUCUUCCUCCUCUCCCACGGUGCUUGGCGAAGCCCUACCGGGAGACCUCGUCUCUCCAUCGACACCAUGCCGUUGUGCUGCUGGAGAUCUUCCCCAACCUCCCCCUCCUCCUUGCUGGAUCAAGUUGCGGGAGACGUCACCGGGAUGCACGUGUGCUGAACGCGGAGGUGCCGUGAUUCGGCACUAGAUCGGAACUGCGAUCUGAAUCACCGCGAGUACGACUCCAUCAACCACGUUCUAGCAACGCUUCCGCUUAGCGAUCUUCAAAGGUAUGAAGACGCACUCUCCCCUCUCUCGUUGCUGGUCUCUCCAUAGGAAGAUCUAAAUAUGGCGUAGGAAAAUUUUGAAUUUAUGCUACGUUACCUGAUACGUCUCCAACGUAUCUAUAAUUUUUGAUGAUUUCAUGCUAUUAUCCUCUCAAACUUUGGAUGUUUUGUAUGCCUUUUAUAUCUUUUUGGGACUAACUUAUUAACUCAGUGCCAAGUGCUACUUCCUAUUUUUCCCGUGUUUUUGACCCCUUUCAGAGGAGGAUUUUAAACGAAGUCCAAACGGAACGAAACUUCCAAAAAGAUUUUUUUUGAAACAGAAGAAGAUCGGGAAACUUGAGAACAAGGGCAGGGAGCCACCAGGGACCCCACAAGCCCCCUAGCCGCGGCCAGGGGGGCCCGCACCUCCCAGGCUUGUGGGCUCCCUGGGCCACCUCUGCCCUAGGUCUUUCGCCUAUAUAUUCCCAAUAAUUCUAGAAAAAAUCAGGAGAUCAUCGGAAGUACUUUUCCGCCGCCGCAAGCUUCUGUCUUUGCAAGAUCCCAUCUGGGCACGUUCUGGUGCCCUGCCGGAGGGGGGAGUCGGAUACGGAGGGUUUCUUCAUCAACACAAUGACCUCUCUGAUGAUGCGUGAGUAGUUCACCAUAGACCUACGGGUCCAUAGCUAGUAGCUAGAUGGCUUCUUCUCUCUCUUGGAUCUUCAAUACAAAGUUCUCCAUGAUCUUCAUGGAGAUCUAUCCGAUGUAAUCUUCUUUUGCGGUAUGUUUGUCGAGAUCCGAUGAAUUGUGGAUUUAUGAUCAGAUUAUCUAUGAAUCUUAUUUGAGUUUCUUUUGAUCUCUCUUAUGCAUGAUUUCAUAUCCUUGUAAUUCUCUUCGAGUUGUGGGUUUUGUUUGGCUAGCUUGAUCUAUGAUUCUUGCAAUGGGAGAAGUGCUUGGUUUUGGGUUCAUACCGUGCGAUGACCUCACCCAGUGACAUAAGGGGUAGCGAGGCAUGCAUCAUGUUGUUGCCAUCAAGGGUAAAAAGAUGGGGUUUUCAUCAUUGGUUUGAGUUUAUCCCUCUACAUCAUGUCAUCUUGCUUAAGGCGUUACUCUGUUCGUCAUGAACUCAAUACACUAGAUGCAUGCUGGAUAGCGGUCGAUGUGUGGAGUAAUAGUAGUAGAUGCAGAAAGUAUCGCUCUACUUGUCUCGGACGUGAUGCCUAUAUGUAUGAUCAUUGCCUUAGAUAUAGUCAUGACUUUGCACGGUUCUAUCAAUUGCUCGACAGUAAUUUGUUCACCCACCGUAAUAUUUUCUAUUUUGAGAGAAGCUUCUAGUGAACACUAUGGCCCCUGGGUCUACUUCACACCAUAUUUUCAGCCUUACACUUUUUCUUUGUUGCACUUUCUGCCUUCAGAUCUCACUUUGCAAUCAAUCUUGAAGGGAUUGACAACCCCUUUAUAGCGUUGGGUGCAAGCUCUUUUGUGUUUGUGCAGGUACUCUGGACUUGACGAGAUUUUCCUACUGGAUUGAUACCUUGGUUCUCAAACUGAGGGAAAUACUUACUGCUCCUGUGCUGCAUCGCCCUUUCCUCUUCAAGGGAAAAACCAAUGCAAGCUCAAGAGACGACAUAAGAUUUCUGUCGCCAUAGCAGAAGAAUUUCUAGCCCCGUUGCCGGGGAGGAUCAAGUCAAGAACUUAUCCAAGUAAGUGUGGCAAACUCAUCUCUUGCAUUUACCUUUUUUGCCUCUCGUUUUCCUCUCCCCCACUUCUGAAAAAUGAAUUACAAAAAAAUAUUUGCCUUUUUCGUUUGCCUUUUACGUUUGCCCUUUUCUCUCACUUGCUCUUUGUUCGCCUGUGUGCUUGCUUGCUUGCUGAAGUCACCAUGACUGAAAACACCAAACUUUGUGACUUCUCGAAUACUAAUAAUAGUGAUUUUAUUAGUACUCUGAUUUCUCCCGCCACUAGUGCGGAGUCAUACGAAAUCAAUGCCGCUUUGCUGAAUCUUGUUAUGAAAGAGCAAUUCUCCGGCCUUCCUAGUGAAGAUGCCGCAUCCCAUCUUAAUACCUUCAUUGAGUUUUGCGAUAUGCAAAAGAAGAAAGAUGUGGAUAAUGAUGUGAUUAAAUUGAAUCCUUUUCCUUUCUCGUUGCGAGAUCGAGCAAAAACUUGGUUUUCGUCUUUGCCCAAAAAUAGUAUUGAUUCUUGGAAUAAGUGCAAAGAUGCUUACAUAUCCAAGUAUUUUCUGCCGGCUAAGAUUAUCUCUCUCCGUAAUGAUAUUAUGAAUUUUAAGCAACUUGAUCAUGAACAUGUUGCACAAUCUUGGGAGAGAAUGAAAUUGAUGAUUAGAAAUUGUCCCGCUCAUGGCUUGAGUCUUUGGAUGAUUAUACAAAUCUUCUACGCUGGCUUGAAUUUCGCUUCUAGAAAUAUCUUGGACUCUGCCUCCGGUGGAACAUUCAUGGAAAUCACGUUAGGAGAAGCCACAAAACUCCUAGAUAAUAUCAUGAUGAACUACUCUCAAUGGCACACUGAAAGGUCACCUACUAGUAAGAAGGUACAUGCUAUAGAAGAACUCGUUGAGUGCUAAUAUGGAUGAGUUAAUGAAUUUGAUUGCUAGUAGAAGUGCUCCUUUAGAUCCUAAUGAUAUGCCCUUGUCUUCCUUGAUUGAGAGUAGCAACGCUAGCUUGGACGUUAAUUUUGUUGGUAGGAGUAAUUUUGGCAACAAGAAUGCUUUUAGAGGAAACUACAUUCCUAGGCCUUUUCCUAGUAACUCCUCUAAUAACUUUGGCAACUCCUACAACAAUACUCAUGGAAAUUUGAUACGUCCAUUUUGCAUCAUGUUUUCAUGUUGAUAUUUAUCGCUUCUUUGGCUGUUAUUUCACUUCACGGUACUAUUCUUAUGCCUUUUCUUUCUUAUUUUGCAAGGUUUACAUGAAGAGGGAGAAUACCGGCAACUGGAAUUCUGGCCUGAAAGUGGAGCAAAGUUGAGAUACCUAUUCUGCGCAACUCCAUACGCUGUAAAAAUCAACGAGGAUUUUUUUCCCGAUUUAUCAAAAAUACUGGGCCGAAGAAGUGCCACAGGGGCACUAGGUGGUGCCCACAAGCCUGCACGGCGCGGCCACCCCCUAGGCCGCACCAUGGGGGCUUGUGGGCAGCCCACUGGCCCACUGUCCCCCCUCUUUUGUUAUAUGGAGGGUUUGGUUUCGCCGCCGCCAUGAGGCGGAACUUGAGCAGAACCAAUCUAGAGCUCCGGCAGGACGAUCCUGCCGGGGAAACUCCCUCCUGGAGGGGGAAAUCGUCGCCAUCGUCAUCACCAACACUCCUCUCAACGGAGGGGACUCGUCACCAUCAACAUCUUCAUCAGCACCAUCUCAUCUCCAAACCCUAGUUCAUCACUUGUAACCAAUCUCCGUCUCGCGACUCCGAUUGGUACUUGUAAGGUUGCUAGUAGUGUUGAUUACUCUUUGUAGUUGAUGCUAGUUGGAUUGUUUGGUGGAAGAGUAUAUUUUCAUAUCCUUGAUGCUACUCAUUACCUAUCUGGUCAUGAAUAUGAUUAUGCUUUGGGAGUAGUUACUUUUGUUCCUGAGGACAUGGGAUAAGUCAUGCUAAUAGUAGUCAUGUGAAUUUGGUAUUCGUUCGGUAAUUUGAUAUGUUGUAUGUUGUUUUUCCUCUAGUGGUGUUAUGUGAACGUCGACUACAUAACACUUCACCAUUAUUUGGGCCUAGGGGAAGGCAUUGGUAAGUAGUAAGUAGAUGAUGGGUUGCUAGAGUGACAGAAGCUUAAACCCUAGUUUAUGUGUUGCUUCGUAAGGGGUGAUUUGGAUCCACUAGUUCAAUGCUAUGGCUAGACUUUGUCUUAAUUCUUAUUUCGUAGUUGUGGAUGCUUGCGAGAGGGGUUAAUCAUAAGUGGGAUGCUUGUCCAAUUAAGGGCAGUACCCAAGCGCCGGUCCACCCACAUAUCAAACUAUCAAAGUAACGAACGUGAAUCAUAUGAACAUGCUGAAACUAGCAUGACAGAAAUUCCCGUGUGUCCUCGGGAGCGUUUUCCUCCUAUAAGACUUUGUCCAGGUUUGUCCCUUGCUACAAAAGGGAUUGGGCCACUUUGCUGCACUGUUUCUACUUUUGUUACUUGUUGCUCGCUACGAAUCAUCUCACCACACGAUCACUUGUUACCGACAAUUUCAGUGCUUGCAGAUUUUUCCUUGCUGAAAACCACUUGUCAGAUCCUUCUGCUCCUCGUUGGGUUCGACACUCUUACUUAUCGAAAGGACUAUGAUUGAUCCCCUAUACUUGUGGGUCAUCAAGACUCUUUUCUGGCGCCGUUGCCGGGGAGUGAAGCGCCUGUGGUAAGUGGAACUUGGUAAGGAAACAUUCAUAUAGUGUGCUAAAAUCUAUUGUCACUUGUCACUAUGGAUACUAAUCCUUUGAGGGGCUUGUUUGGGGUAUCUUCACCUCGAACGGAAUCACAAAGAGUUGCUCCUCAACCUUCUGCACCUACUGAAAAUAUUUGCUUUGACUUUCCUUCGGGUAUGCUUGAGAAACUGCUGGCUAAUCCUUUUACAGGAGAUGGAACAUCACAUCCAGACUUGCAUCUAAUCUAUGUAGAUGAGGUUUGUGUUUUAUUUAGGCUUGCAGGUGUGCCCGAGGAUGAGGUCAAGAAGAAGGUCUUUCCUUUAUCUUUGAAGGAUAAGGCGUUGACAUGGUAUAGGCUAUGUGAUGAUACUGGAUCAUGGUACUACAACGGUUGAAAUUGGAAUUUCAACAAAAGUUUUAUCCUAUGCAUUUAGUACAUCAUGAUCGGAAUUAUAUUUAUAACUUUUGGCCUCAUGACAGAGAAAGCAUCGCUCAAGCUUGGGGGAGGCUUAAAUCAAUGCUAUAUUCAUGCCCCAAUCAUGAGCUCUCGAGACAAAUUAUCAUUCAGAACUUCUAUGCUCGGCUUUCUCAUGAUGAUCGCACCAUGCUUGACACUUCUUGUACCGGUUCUUUCAUGAAGAGAGAUAUUGACUUCAAGUGGAAUUUAUUGGAGAGAAUUAAACGCAACUCUGAAGAUUGGGAGCUUUAAGUAGGUAAGGAGUCAGGUAUGAGUUUCACUUGUGAUUGCGUUAAAUCCUUUGUUGAGACAAAUACUUUUUGUGACUUCAGCGCUAAGUAUGGACUUGACUUUGAGAUAGUAGCUUCAUUGUGUGAAUCUUUUGCUGCUCAUAUUGAUCUCCUCAAAGAGAAGUGGUUUAAAUAUAAUCCUCCUUUAGACGUCAAUGUAGUUAAAUCCACUCCAGUUGAAGAGAAAGUCAUUGCCUAUAAUGAUCCUGUGGUUCCCAGUGCUUACAUUGAGAAACCACCUUUCCCCGUUAGGAUAAAGGAUCAUUCUAAAGCUUCAACUGUGAUACAUAGAGGCUAUAUUAGAGUUGAACCUAGCAUUGCUAUUAUCAAAUAUCUUCUGUCUGAAGAAGUUGAGGGACAUAAUAUUCACUUCUGUGAAGAUGCUGCUAGAAUUGCUAAACCUCACGUUAGAGACAAACAUAGGCCUAUUGUUGGCAUGUCUGUGGUUUCUGUUAAGAUAGGAGAUCAUUGUUCUGAUGGUUUAUGUGACGUGGGUGCUAGUGUUAGUGCAAUACCUCAAUCCUUAUAUGAUGAAAUCAAAGAUGAGAUUGCACCUGUUGAGAUAGAGCCUAUUGAUGUCACUAUUCAGCUUGCCAAUAGAGAUACUAUCUGCCCUGUGGGAAUUGUUAGGGAUGUUGAAGUCUUGUGUGGUAAAACAAAGUAUCCUGCUGAUUUCCUCGUUCUUGCUACUGCACAAGAUAGCUUUUGUCCCAUCAUAUUUGGUAGACCUUUUCUCAAUACCGUCAAUGGUCAUAUUGAUUGUGAGAAGCAAACUGUCAGUUUUGGCUUUGAAGGAGUGUCACAUGAGUUCAAUUUCUCUAAGUUUGGUAGACAACCUCAUGAAAAGGAGUUGCCUAGUAGGGAUGAAACUAUUGCCUUAGCUUCUAUUGCCGUGCCUCCUACUGAUCCCUUAGAGCAAUAUUUGCUUGAGCAUGAAAAUGAUAUGCAUAUGGAUGAAAGGGAUGAUAUAGAUAGAGUUGUCUUAGAACAAUAUUCUAUUCUUAAGAAUAACUUGCCUGUUGAACUGCUUGGGGGAUCCACCCCCACCAAAGGGUGAUCCUGUGUUCGAGCUUAAAUAGUUGCCUGAUACUCUUAAGUAUGCCUAUCUUGAUGAAAAGGAGAUAUAUCCUAUCAUUGUUAGUGCUAGCCUCUCAGAGCAUGAAGAAAAGAAGUUACUAAAAACUCUGAGGAAGCACCGUGCUGCUAUUGGAUAUACUCUUGAUAAUCUUAAGGGCAUUAGUCCUACCCUAUGCCAGCACAAGAUUAAAAUUGAUCCUGAUUUCAAACCAGUUGCUGAUCAUUAGAGGAGAUUAAAUCCUUAGAUGAAAGAAGUAGUCAGAAAAGAAAUACUCAAGCUCCUGGAAGCAGGUAUUAUCAAUCCUGUUGCUCAUAGUGAUUGGGUGAGUCCGGUGCAUUGCGUCCCUAAGAAGGGAGGCAUUACCGUUGUCCCUAAUGAUAAGGAUGAAUUGAUCCCAUAGAGGAUUAUUACUGGCUAUAGGAUGGUGAUCGAUUUUAGGAAAUUGAAUAACGCCACUAGGAAAGAUCAUUACCCUCUGCCUUUUAUCGACCAAAUGCUAGAAAGACUGUCUAAACACACACACUUCUACUUUCUAGACGGUUAUUCUGGUUUCUCCCAAAUACCAGUUGCACAAUCUGAUUAGGAGAAAACCACUUUCACCUGCCCUUUCGGUACCUUUGCUUAUAGACGUAUGCCUUUUGGCUUAUGUAAUGCACCUGCCACCUUUCAAAGAUGUAUGAUGGCUAUAUUCUGUGACUUUUGUGAAAAGAUUGUCGAGGUUUUCAUGGAUGACUUUUCCGUUUACGGGUCUUCCUUUGAUGAUUGCCUCAGCAACCUUGAUCGAGUCUUACAGAGAUGUAAAGACACCAAUCUUGUCUUGAAUUGGGCGAAGUUCCACUUUAUGGUUAAUGAAGGCAUCGUCUUAGUACAUAAAAUUUCCGAAAGAGGUAUUGUAGUCGAUAAGGCUAAGGUUGAUGCAAUCGAGAAAAUGCCAUACGCCACAGAUAUCAAAGGUAUAAGAAGUUUCCUUGGUCAUGCUGGUUUCUAUAGAAGGUUCAGUAAAGACUUCUCUAAGAUUUGUAGGCCUCUUACCAAUCUCUUGCAAAAGGAUAUUCCUUUUGUCUUUGACGAUGAUUGUGAGGAAGCCUUCGAAAUACUUAAGAGGGCUUUGAUAACUUCACCUAUUGUUCAACCACCUGAUUGGAACUUACCUUUUGAGAUCAAGUGUGAUGCUAGUGAUUAUGCUAUUGGUGCUGUCCUAGGGCAAAGAGUUGAUAAUAAGUUGAAUGUCAUUCACUAUGAUAGUAAAACUCGAGACAGUUACCAGAGAAACUAUGCUACUAUGGAGAAGGAAUUUUUAGGAGUCGUGUUUGCAUGUGAAAAGUUCAGGUCUUACAUAGUUGAUUCCAAAGUCACUAUUCACACUGAUCAUGCUGCUAUUAAGUACCUCAUGGAGAAGACGGACGCUAAACCUAGACUUAUCAGAUGGGUUCUCUUGCUACAAGAAUUUGAUUUGCACGUUGUUGAUAGGAAGGGUGCUGAUAACCCUGUACCAGAUAACUUGUCUAGGUUGGAGAACGUUCUUGAUGACCCACAACCUAUUGAUGAUAGCUUUCCCGAUGAGCAACUGAAUGUCAUCAAUGCUUCACAUAGUGCACCGUGGUAUGCUGAUUAUGCGAACUAUAUCGUUGCCAAAUACAUACCACCUAGUUUCAUGUACCAGCAAAAGAAGAAAUUCUUCUUUGACUUGAGACAUUACUUUUGGGAUGAUCCUCACCUUUAUAAGGAAGGAGUAGAUGGUGUUAUUAGACAUUGUGUACCUGAACAUGAACAGGGACAGAUCCUACAGAAGUGUCACUCCGAGGCCUACGGAGGACACCAUGCGGGAGAUAGAACUGCACACAAGGUAUUGCAAUCAGGUUUCUAUUGGCCCACUCUCUUCAAGGAUGCCCGUAAGUUUGUCUUGUCUUGUGACUGAUACGUCUCCGUCGUAUCUACUUUUCCGAACACUUUUGCCCUUGUUUUGGACUCUAAUUUGCAUGAUUUGAAUGGAACUAACCCGGACUGACGCUAUUUUCAGCAGAAUUGCCAUGGUGUUGUUUUUGUGCAGAAAUGAAAGUUCUUGGAACAUCCUGAAAAUUUAUGGAGAUUUUUUAUGGAAUAAAAGAAAAAUACAUAUGCAAAGAUCCACCGGAGGGGGCGUGCCAGUGGGCCACAAGCCCACAGGCCGCGGCCACCCCCUAUGGUCGCGCCGUGAGGGCUUGUGGGGCCCACGUGGCACCACCGCCGCCAAUCUCAGCUCUAUAUCUUCCGUUUUGCCUGGAAAAAAAUCAGAGAGAAGGUUUCAUCGCGUUUUGCGAUACGGUGGCGCCGCCACAUCCUGUUCUUCAUCUGGAGGGCAGAUCUGGAGUCCAUUUCGGGCUCCGGAGAGGGGAAAUCGUUGCCAUCGUCAUCAUCAACCUUUCUCCAUCGACAAUUCCAUGAUGCUCUUCAUCGUUCGUGAGUAAUCUCAUCGUAGGCUUAGUGGACGGUGAUGAGUUGGAUGCGAUCUAUCAUGUAAUCGAGUUAGUUCUUGACGGGGAUUGAUCCCUAGUAUCCACUAUGUUCUAGAUUGAUGUUGCUACUACUUGGCAAUGCUUAAUGCUUGUCACUAGGGCCCAAGUGCCAUGAUUUCAGAUCUGAACCUAUUAUGUUGUCGCCAAUAUAUGUGUGUUUUAGAUCCUAGAUUGCAAGUUAUAGUCACCUACUAUGUGUUAUGACCCGGCAACCCCAGAGUGACAAUAGCCGGCACCACUCCCGGAGAUGACCAUAGUAUGAGGAGUUCAUGUAUUCACCGCGUGUUAGUGCGUUGGUCCGGUUCUUUAUUAAAAGGAGAACCUUAAUAUCCUUUAGUUUCCAUUAGGACCCCGCUGCCACGGGAGGGAUGGACAAUAGAUGUCAUGCAAGUUCUUUUCCCUAAGCACGUAUGACUACAUACGAAAUACAUGCCUACAUUAGAUUGAUGAACGGGAGCUAGCCACAUAUCUCUCCGUGUUAUAGCUGUUACAUGAUGAAUCACAUCCGUCACACUCAUCCAUCACCGAUCCAAUGCCUACGAGUCUUUUACUACUGGUCCUCGCUACGUUACUUUGCCUAGGCUUGUCCCUUGCUACAAGAGGGAUUGGGCCACUUUGCUGCUGUUGCUACUGCUGUUACUUGUUACUUUGCUGUUGCUGCUGCUAUUACUGUUCCUUGCUACUCCGCUGUUACUUGUUUCAAGACUUUGUUGGCACCGACAUCCUGUCAACAAGGCUUUUUACAGGCGCCAUUGAUACAACAGUUAGGAAUAGUCUGCCGUCAACAGAUCGUUUCUGGCACCGUUGCUAUCAUACUACUUUGCUACUGAUACUUUGCUUGCAGACACUAAUCUUUCACGUGUGGUUGAAUCUGACACAUUCAGCUGCUAAUACUUGAGAAUAUUCUUUCGCUUCCCGUCGUGCGAACCAACAAAUUUGGGUUGAAUACUCUACCCUCGAAAACUGCUGCGAUCCCAUACGCUUGUGGGACAUGAGUGACGAAUGUCAAAGAAUAGGUAAUAUUAGCAAACGUGAGGAAAUGCCUAUGAACUAUUCACUUGUCAUUGAACCAUUUGAUGUUUGGGGCUUUGAUUAUAUGGGACCUUUUCCAAAAUCCAAUGGGUAUAUUCACAUCUUAGUUGGCGUUGAUUACGUCACUAAGUGGGCAGAAGCUAUCCCCACUAGUAGUGCUGAUCACAACACCUCCAUCAAGAUGCCGAAAGAAGUUAUCUUCCCUAGAUUUGGAGUCCCUAGAUAUCUAAUGAUCGGCGGUGUUUCACACUUCAUUCAUGGUGCUUUCCGUAAAACGCUUGCUAAGUAUGAUGUCAACCAUAGAAUUGCGUCUCCCUAUCACCCUCAGUCUAGUGGUCAAGUAGAGCUAAGCAAUAGAGAGAUUAAGCUAAUUCUACAAAAGACUGUCAACAAGUCUAGAACGAAUUGGUCUAAGAAGCUCGAUGAUGCACUGUGGGCUUAUAGAACUGCCUAUAAGAAUCCCAUGGGCAUGUCUCCGUACAAAAUGGUGUAUGGGAAAGCAGGUCACUUACCUCUUGAGCUAGAGCAUAAAGCUUAUUGGGCAAUCAAAGAACUCAACUUUGAUUUCAAACUUGCCGAUGAGAAGAGGUUAUUCGUUAUUAGCUCGCUUGAUGAGUGGAGAACUCACGCAUAUGAGAAUGCCAAGCUGUUCAAAGAGAAGGUUAAGAGGUGGCAUGAUAAGAGAAUACAAAAGCAUGCGUUCAAUGUAGGUGAUUAUGUCUUGCUAUAUAACUCUCGUUUAAGAUUCUUUGUAGGCAAGCUUCUCUCUAAAUGGGAAGGUCCCUAUGUUGUUGAGGAAGUAUAUCGUUUCGGUGCUAUCAAGAUCAACAACACAGAAGGUAAUUGUCCGAGAGUGGUAAAUGGGCAGAGAAUCAAGCAUUAUAUCUGAGGUACUCCCAUAAAUGUUGAAAGCAAUAUCAUCAAUACCAUAACUCUGGAAGAAUACCUAAGGGACAAUUAUCAGCCCGUUUCAGAUUCCGAAAACGAAGAGGUAUGUGAUUCGGUAAGAAAACAGAGUCCAAAACUUUUCCAAUAGGAAUUUUUCUCUGUUUUGGAAUAUUUGAAAAAAUACAAAAAUUGGAAGUAGUCCGGAAAGUGCGCGAGGAGGCGACAAGCGUGCACGGCGCGGGCCCACCCCCUAGCCGCGCCGUGAGGGCUUGUGGACACCUCGUGUGCCUCCCGGACUCCGUUUUCGUGCAGGGUACUCCUUCUGGUCUGAAAAAGAAAUCAUUAUAUAUACUUUCGUUUGGUCUGACCCAUGCAUCACGCAGAUUUUCUCUGUUUUUCGUUUCAAGCGUGUUUUCUGCCGUAGAUCUAGGUCAAGAUGUCUUCUCAGGAUUCAGAGGGGGAGAGCUAUGUGGCUGAUUACCUUGCUAACCCCAAGUUCUAUGGGGACUGUGAUCCAUAUGGGUGGACCACUGAUGAGGAAGAAGACUAUGAUCCCAAGUGGAAGGAACAAACAAGUUCCGAUGAAGAGGAGGCUCCUCUACCUCAACCUGGACACACUCAUGUGGAGUUCAAGAAGUCGAGCCUCCCUGACUCAAGGAAGAAGCCUAAGACCUUGUUUAUCCCUUCUCGUUUCUUGUAGGAGAGUAAGCAGGAAUUAUGCCAAAGGGUGUUGAAGCUUGAAGAGGAAAAUGAUGAUCUGAGGGAUCAGAAUUUUAUGCUCAAGUGGAAAUUAAACAAGCUCAAGACCUCUUCAACAACUCCUCCACCAUCACCACCAAAGGAAGACAACUGAGCAUUGGUAUGGGCAAUCCCCUUGGCUUGUGCCAAGCUUGGGGGAGUUGCCCCGGUAUCGUAUCACCAUCACAUCUUUUGCCUUUACCUUUGUUUUAGUUUUCCUUUUCAGUUUUCUUUUUCUCUAGUAGUUUAAAAGUCUUAGUGUUUUAGUCUUGAGUUUUGCUUUGUGUCACCCCCGAUGUAUUCUUGCGCGUGAGCCAUAUAAUAAAGAAUGUCUUAGUUGAAGGGCUUUGCCUCUUGCCAUGAUCAAAAGAGUGAGAAUAGAACAAAAGCAUGAAAGAUCAUGUAAUGAUCUUAUGGGAAGUGAUGGCUUCACAUAUAAAAAGAAUGAGGAUUGAAACUUGUUGAGGGUAGGCAAACGUAGAACUUGGUCAUUGUUGCAAUUAAUAGGAAGUGAUAAGGAAGGAGAGGUUCACAUACAAAUAUAUCAUCUCUAACACCAUCUAAGAUUGCGAACACUCACUAAACUAUUACAUGCCUAGAAGUUGUAACAUCCCAAUUUUCCUAACUGGGAAUGUUUUACAAUUGUAGCUAAGCAUCUAUGCAUAUUGAAAGGCAAUAAAGAUUUGCAUUUGAAUUCUUUCAAAAAAAAAUUCUUUUGCAUUUCUAUUUGUUUUCUUCGUGCAAGAUGUGCCGAGAAAUAAUUUCUUGCAAGCAAGAAAGAGCGGAGGAAAAUGACCCUCCAAAAUGUGAGGCAUUUCUGAAAUAUUUUGAGCCAAGAAAACCAAAGUUUUAUUGAGAAAAUAUUUGCAAACAGAAAAUAAAGCUUUUAGGGUUUUUCCAAAAAAUAACAUUUUUUAAAAGUUUUUAUUUUGGCCUUGGAAAAAUGUUAAACGUGUAGAGAUUUUUUUUCUGGAAUUUUUGGUAUAUAAUACCCUAUAUUAAUUAUUUUAUUUUGUUUCCUUUUUAUUCGUUUUAGUUUCUGUUGUAUAAAAAAAAGCUAAAACGGGAAUAUUCUUUUUUAAAGGGAAACCCACCCCGAGCGCAUUAUAACCGGCCCACCGCCCCGGGAUCCCCUGCCUUUCCUAUUUGGGGCGAACACCCAGCCGCCCCUACCUCCCCUCACUGACCCCUGGGCCCCGCCCGCGCCGUCCCCACCCGCAGCGCCGCCCCCACCCGCGCGCACCCCCUUUCUCCUUCCUCCUUCCUUUUCUCUCUCCUCCCUUUCCUUCUCUCAGCCGACCCCGAGCCCCCCUUCGUCGGAGCCCCGAUCCCCUCUCAGAUCUCUCUCACCUUCCCCUCCCGAGCCCCUAGCCCCCCAAUAUAAAGCCCCCUCCGCCACCGCACCCCGUUCCUCACCUCGCCGCCCCAGCCCUCGCCCCACGCCGCCCCCACGCGAGCUCGCCGGAGCUCCGAGCUCGGCCGAAGCCCCGGCUACUCCCCUCGCCGCCCCGAGCCUCCCCUCCCCUCGCCGCCGCCGCCAUUGGACGCGGGAGCCUCACCGCCGCCUCCCCAAUCCCUCGGACGCCGUCGGGACUCGCCGGAACAACCGCCCCGACCUCCCUCCGCCUUGGCCUCGCCGGAGAUCCUCGCCGGAGCUCCUGCCUCCUGUGAGCCUUCUCUCCUAACCCCCGUAGCGGUCGGAUCUUAUUUGUACGCGCAUGAUUAGAAACGAGGAUGCCCUUUCGGUCUUUUAAAUAAAACCGAAACGGUUUUCUUAUUCACUUAUUAAAAAUGAUUUUUAGUUGAUUCUUUUUGCUACUGCUUCCUAGUGAUUAUAUCUUACUGUAGUAUAAGUUUAAUUUUUUUUAAAUAUUUGUACUUGGGGUUUUAUCAGAAACAAUUUCUGCCUUUGUUCGGUGAAGUGAAUUCUUUCACUUUAGGCCAUAGCUACUUUAUGCUUGUGAUGUUAUUUUACUUGUUGAUGAUUGUAGUGCUUAUGGUGUGUAUUUGUUUGUAUCGUUAGAUCACCCGGAGUGCGAAGCUUGUUACUUAGAAGCGCUCGAUCAAGACAACUAUCAUCAAGGCAAGUCAUUUUGAUCAUACUAUUCGCCUAUGUUUUCUAUGCAUGGUAGUUUCACCUUUCUUUGCCCACUUGCAUGCUGAGUAGGUACUUGGAAAUUAUAGUUAUAGGUUGUAGUAUCAUGUGGUAGGCACACAACAACCCCGAUACUUGGCCCGGGACGACAAAUUUCAUAUUGCUAUGCUUGAGUAGACGGGAUUCUGGUUGAGUGCAUAACACGAGUGAUGCGAGGAUAAUUAAAUAACCAAGACCGGUUAAGUCAAGAUUUUCAAGACCUCAUUAAGCAAUGCAACUAUGGGUGAAGGACGGUUUGACGGGCUCCCUGGAGCAACGUGUGGACGACCCCGGGAUGCUGGAGACGUGCCAUGACAUCUUGCGGAAAGCUUCACCCAGGCUCGAAGAGACGGACGGAGGCUUCAAGACCCAAGGCAUACCUGCACAGCCAUAAGUCAUUAUGGGCUCUGGCUUGGUUGGACAACGGGGCGACUCUGGACAGGCGGUGCUAGCAGAUGUAGAAGAACGGUAGGAAUGGAUGGGCACCGACAGGGAUUCGGAGGGACCCGUUGAAAGACCAUGUUUUGAUCAUCUGGUCUUCAAACACCCUGAAGUGUGAGGACAUACUCGGAGGCGAUCAAAUCUUGUGGGGAACGUGUGCAAAACUCUGCAGAGUGCCUAAAACUAAUCGAUUAGCCGUGUCCACGGUCUUGGACAACUUGAGCCGAAGGCAUUGAAAUUUCCCUGAACUCUCGACACAAUUUAAUAAUGUUGUGGGAAUUAUCAACAACUCGGGUACGAGAAUUGGUUGGCGGAACCAUCUCGUUAACAACAAACAAUGUAGUAAUAUUUCGCUUUUAGCCCUCUCUUGUUGUAGGAGAAAAUUAGCUAUAUGCAAAACUUAUAGCCCCACCGGCCAAAUAUGCAUGUAGAGAUAGUUGGUUAUAAUUUUUCCGCUCUCUUGAUGACUUGCCGGCAUAUUCCAUAUGCUGACCUACACGGCUGCAACGUAUCAUGUUGCAGAGUACUUUUCCGACCAAGAGUGAGGCUACGAUCUACGCUCAACGACAUGCCCUGGAGUCGGAUGGACUCGUCUACCUGAUGCUUCCGCUAGUCUUCAUUAGAUAUCUCAUGAGAUGGCCUUCAGCCACUUUAUUGUAAUUCAUUAUUGUAAUAAAGUACUCGAUAUGAGAUUUUGAUUAAUAAAGAUGUGUGAUUGAACUCUUGAUAUAUACAUUGAUGUACUGAGUGUGUACCAGCAUGAUUUUGGGAUGGUACGGAAACACCAGAGGCUUGACUCGUAUUGAGUCGGGACGCUACAGAAAUGGUAUUCAGAGCCCACGCUGACCGUAGGACGUAACCUCUAGGAAUGGAAAAUCCUUAGGAAGAAAACUAUUUUCUUAUGUCUAUAAAUCCUCUAUUUCCUCUUCUGAUCAUUUCUGACUUCUCUCCGAUUUUCCAAUGUUUUAGAUGGCCAUCUUCAUCCCCGUUAAGUUCACGGAGUUUUGCCAGCCUGACGCCACUAUGCCUUUCGGAAAGGAGCUGAUACAGAUCACCAAGGACUUGAGGAUUGCUCUGUCGACUAUCACAGGGAAGCCCACUUCGUCUUACUCGGAGGAUUCACGCUACAGGAUUGAGGUGCACGUUCCCGGAAGGACAUUCGAGCCGCGCACUGAGCCUGUGGACUUCAAGUUCAUCGCACCCAACUGGAUUCUCGGAAGGGACAUGGCGGCCAUUGUGCACUCGGACAUAUCAAGGAAGUGUACAGAGGCUGCCCUAUUUCACCGGACCUAUUCACGGUAUCCCGGAGAGGAGAAGAUGGAGAAACCAUCUCAAGCAAGACCAAGGACGCUCUCCUGUCAUAUGCCCAGACCUUGGAGAAGCACAGCGGGACUCUGGAGCAUCGUGUGAUCAAGGACGCCAGGAAGAUCAAGCAACUGUCGCUCCACGAACUCGAACUCGAAGAAGCAGCCCGGGAAGCCCACUAUGAGCACGAAUUGGAGGUGAAGGACUUCCUGGAGAGGAUCGAGAAGCUGAAGACUCGAGUUGCAUACCUAGAGGAGGAACUGGACAUGGGCGAGAACCUUCAUCCCGAAGGAGACGUAGCCCCCUUGAUCAGCAAUGAGGAGGACUAUCAGGAAAGCUCCACCGAAGGAUCCACCACCAUUUUUUUCUGAGGAGGACACUUAGACUAGUCCACCAAAUUUAUCUUGUCGUUAAACGCUUAGGCCGAUGUUUAGGUUAUCGAAUUUUGUAUCCCCGUGUGUGAACCUUUUGUGAUGGUAUUGAAUAAAAUGUGUGGUGUGAUACUUGUUUGUUGCAUUUCAUAUGGGUAGUGUAAUUACUCUCUAGUCCAUUGUUCUAUGCUAAUCUCACCCCUCUACAAACACUAGAUGCCUCCGAGACAUGCCCGUGCUUCCAACUUUCCGCCGAAACUCACUCAGUUGAUUCAGCAACAGAAUACCCUGAUGCAGCUGAUCAUCCUGAACCAGAACAAUAACAACAACCAUCAUCCACCCCAGGCCGACAAUCUCACCCGUUUCCUGAGGUUGAACCCUCCGACUUUCUCCAGCAGCAUUGAGCCCAUUGUGGCAGAUGAUUGGCUCCGCAAGAUGGAGCGGGAACUAAUCACUGCUGGUUGUACUGAAGCUGAGAAGGUGCGCUUUGCCGCGCAUCAACUUGAAGGCCCUGCAGCUGCAUGGUGGGAGAACUACACCACCACAUACCCCAUUCCUGGAGUCACUUGGGAGCAGUUCAAGCAAGCCUUCCGCACCGCACAUGUCUCAGCUAGUGCAAUGAGUCUGAAGAAGCGUGAGUUUCGCAACUUACGCCAGGGAAAUCGCUCUGUGGCUCAGUAUGUCGAUGAAUUCAGCAUGCUCGCCCGAUAUGCGCCUGGAGAUGUGGCCGAUGAUGCGGCCAAGAAGGAAAAGUUCUUAGAGGGACUCAAUGAUGAGUUGAGCAUACAGCUGACUAUAGCUAACUUCAACAACUACCAGGAGCUGGUAGAUAAGGCCCUCAUCUUGGAGGGGAAACAUCAGCAGAUGGAGAACCGCAAGCGGAAGUAUGGCAAUGGAAAGUUCAACUCCGGCACUCAGCAGAAGCCUCGCUACACCCCCUAUUCAGGGAAUACCAGGAAUGGAUCCGGUAAGUUUGGAGGACACGUCCAGCAUAACCAACCAGUGCACAACCAUGGAGGAAAUGGGAACCACCACAACAACAGCAACUUCAAGAAUGGCGGUACCGGCACUCAGCAUCAUUCAGCUCCAGCUCAGAAGGAUCUGAAUCACAUCACCUACUUCAAGUGUCAGAAGACGGGACACUAUGCCACUGAAUGUCCCCAGAACAAGCAGGGAAAUGGAAACAGCAACGACAACUCUACAGCAAAGAAGCCCAAUCCUUUUCCUCGAGCUCAGGUGAAUCACAUUGAUGUUGAAGAGGUCUAUGAUCACCCCGAUAUUGUGGUUGGUAAGUUUUUGCUAAAUUCACGUCCAAUAUUGGUACUUUUUGAUUCUGGUGCAACACAUUCAUUCAUAUGAAGGGUAGUUGUGGAAAAGUAUAGUUUGCCAACUAGAACCCUCAGCCAGCCUAUUAAGGUCAGUUCCCGAGGAGGCAUGAUGACAGCCGGGAUAGGAUGCCAUGCUUUGAGUCUCAACAUCGGGAACCAUAAGUUUCCCACCGACCUCAUCGUAUUAGAGUCUGAGGGAUUGGAUGUAAUCCUAGGCAUGGAUUGGUUGGCCAAGUACGAAGGGAAUAUUGAUUGUGCCCUUAAGUCUAUUUUGCUCACCACCCCCGAACAAAAGCGGAUUAAGUACGUGUCUCAGCGCCCGACACGGAGUAAACGAGUAAACUCUCUCACGGGAGUAGUCUAGGAGGAAGUAUCGAUUGUACAAGAAUACCGAGAUGUAUUUCCGGAGGAAUUGCCAGGCAUGCCACCUGAUAGAGAGAUUGAGUUCCUGAUUGAGCUAUUACCCGGAAUAGCC
Molecule: long non-coding RNA, 53643 nt
Filed under: Hordeum vulgare
Lineage: Eukaryota; Viridiplantae; Streptophyta; Magnoliopsida; Poales; Poaceae
Description: long non-coding RNA (HVUL_LNC007690)
Source: RNAcentral